This 60375-nucleotide long non-coding RNA is filed under the name Gossypium barbadense (sea-island cotton). RNAcentral describes it as "long non-coding RNA (GBAR_LNC008273)". The stretch from base 59771 to 59914 matches the Rfam family "MIR7502 microRNA precursor family". Lineage: Eukaryota; Viridiplantae; Streptophyta; Magnoliopsida; Malvales; Malvaceae. The record is from RNAcentral.
UAGAAUAUGGAAGGAAAUUAAGUGGAAAUGAAGUGUGAAUUGAAUUAAAAAAGUAAAUGAGUUAAUUAGGAUUAAAUUGGAAUUAGGGUAUAAAUUGAAAAGAAAUUCAAUUAAUUACUGUAAAUUAGUGCUGUAAUUAAUAUUGUAAAUUAUUAUUAUUUUCGUAGCUAGCAAAGAACUCGAAGCAUCGGCACAAAAAGAAAAGGAGAAAGUUAUCGAGGAGUAAUCGCGAAAUCGGGUUUGUAUUACUAUAAUUCAAACUACUAUUUAUUAAAUGUUAUAUUUAAAUUUAUAUGUAUGGUAGUAAAAUUAUGGGCCCAGACCCAAACCAAACAAAUAAAAACAAAAACAAAAGCAAUAAAGUGUCUAAAGUUCAGUCCAAUUACAAGAACGGCCCAAAAUAUGAGUGGCCCAAUGCACUACCCGAUUUCACAAACCCAAGCCUUAGCCCAAAUUUAUCAGAAAAGAAAGAAACCCUAGGGUUUCUAUACCAGCACCCUUAUGUGCGCCGCUCCUCACGUGGUGUUGGCACGCUCCACGCCCGAACAGACGCCUUGUCCCAUCGCCUCUGCCACACUGCAAACAAACAAAAAAGAGGACAGAAAAGGAACAGAGAAACACGCAAAGCAAAAGCGGAACAAGGAGAGAGCAGUAAAAAUCACAUGUAAUUGACUAUAAAGCCGAAAGAGAAAAUCAGAUGUAAAAGGGGGGAUUUUUGGGGAAAUACAAAAGAAAAAAAAAACAUUGUAUUACACAAAGAUUUUCAGAGAAAUCAAAAGAGAAAACAAGUUUAAAAGGUUUUUGUUCUUAUUUUUUUAUUCUUGUUUUUCCGUUUGUUUUGAUUUUUUUUUAUUUUACAAAUCUUUUUAACAAAAAUCAUGGGAUAAAAAGAAGGGAGAGGGAACUUAUCCGGAUCUACCGUAAACGCCUCGCUAGAGCUCCUCCCUCCGCCGUCGAGUUCAAACCUAAAGAGGGGAAGAGCCUUCCUAUAUCGGUUUUCUAGACUUUGAAGGCUUGGCCUUCAAACAUGGCUUAAUCAAGGGCUGAAAAGCCCGUUUAUUGCUGCCACGACCACCGUCCACGGUGGAGGAGUGAAGGGCCGACGACGGCGCUAAAAGGGGUCUGAAACCCUAGUAGAGAAAGGAGAAAGUUUUUAAAACUUUCUUAAAAAUCGGCUGGAAAUAAAGCAAAAAAAAAAAGGGUUUUAGUAGUAAAAGAGAACGGCACUGUUUUAAGAAUGAUUCAAAAGGCCCCAAAACGACAUCGUUUUGGGGCCAAACCCGAAAUCUGACCAGACCCAAAAAGGGAUCCGCAUGUUUUCACUCUAAAGGGGUUAUUUACGGUCCGAUCCCUCCACUUUCGUGGUCUGUUGCAAUUCAGCCCUGUUCCCUUUUUCUUUUCUUUUAAUUUUUCCCCGUGAUUUUUGUAAUGUUCAAUUUCAAUCCUUAUUGAGGUUAUGCAUUUUGGGGGACAGGGAUAUUGCCCCAUUUGGUCCCCCAUCUUAUUCGUGUAUCACAAUUUGGGGCCCAAUAUUUUAUUUUCAUUACAUUUUGUUCCUUUUAAUUCAGUUUUAACUUCAGUUCAGUCCCUUAUUCUGUUAUUUUAUUAUUUUGCGGUUUAUCCCCUUUAAUUUCGUUUCAGUUUCAAAUCAAUCCUCAUCUUUUUUAUAAUCUAAACUUGAAAUCCCGUCCUAAUUCUAGUCUAGUCCUUCAUUGAUUUAAUUUCAGUUUAUUUAUUUAUUUUUAUUUCAUAUUGAUUUUCAUUUCUUAUUACCCCAUAUUUCGUUUUAAAAUUUGUUUAUUCAUAUUUUUAUUUUCUUGUUGAGCCAUCAUUAUCACGUACAUUUAUAUUGUUUAUUUAUUUAUUAUUUUUCAUGUAUACAUUUUUAUCUAUAUUGUUGCUUUAUUCAUUUUUUAUAUUCCAUGAUACUUACUUAUUUUCAUCAUAUACAUUCCAUUUUAUUUCAUCUUUUAGUCAAUUUUAUUUACUUUGUUAAUAUUAUGAUUUGACCAAUCAAUAUUAUUUUUACUAUUAUUAUCAUCAUUAUAUUGUUUCUUUGUUUGUAUUCAUACGUAAGUUAUUAUUAUUAUUAUUAUUUUAUCAAACGAGUUAAUAUUAUUUUUUAGCACAUUUAUUUUAUUUUUUAUGUAUCAUUACUCGUAUCAUUAUCAUUAUAAUUAUUGUUAUACUUUUAUCUCAUCUUUGCUAUUUUAUUUUUCAUAUUUUUGAAGAUCACUUACUUAACAUUACGUAUAUAUAUACUUUAUUUACUUAUUUUUUAUUCUAUAUAUUUUAUGUAUACCUAUUCAAAUUCGUAAGGUUAAUAUUUUCUAUAUAAAUGUUCGUUAAUUCGUAUACGUUCUUACUACUAAUAUUUACUCAUGCUUUUGGUUCAUCAGUUGCUUCCUCUUUAUGUAUGUAGUUUCAUUGUCCCAUUCAUUUUAAACAUUUUUCGUUAUGUUUGUUUAUUUUUACAUUAUGUAUCCCUGUUUAUUUGCUUUAUUCAUUUAUUAAGAUUUGUUUACUAAUAUUGAAUCCAUCUUCGUAAUUUUAUUAUUGUCAUUAUAACAUUGUAUCGCAUAUUGUAUAUCAUUUCAAAUGUUGUGCUAAUUUUUACCAAAAUUCAUAAAAAAGGGGAUUCUUUAAAUAAGGCAAUAUUUCGUUUUUUGGAAAUUCGAGAAAACGUGCCCUAAUUUAUUAGGUUUCGAUUUUUCUCGUUUAACCUAAAUAACCUAAUAUCCCUUCAAAUUUCAAAAAUAUGAUUUUUAAAUAGAAUAAAGGAAAUAUUCCGUGUUUGGAGAAUCUAGAGAUCGUGCCCUAAUGUGCUGGGUUUCGAUUUUCUUCAUUUGACCCAAAUGACCAGAUAACCUUUUAAAAUUAAAAUGAAUGAGUUUUGAAAAUCAAAAGAUAAGCUUAUUCUGAUAAUUUAAAAUAUCGUGUCCUAACGUGUUGGAUGUGACAUUUAAUUACCUCGGGACAAGAAGGUCUUUAACAUCCGCUUCAAUUUAUUCAAGCGUUUUAAAAUCAACACUAAUAAAAAAGAGGAUGGUAUUCAAAAUUCUUUUCGAGUUUUUUAAAUUUCGACAUUAAGACAUUAAUUAAUCAAUUAGGUACCAAUUUUGGGCGUUACGAGGGUGCUAAUCCUUCCUCGUACGUAAUCGACUCCCGAACCCGUUUUCUCAAAAUUCGUCGACUAAAAUCGUUGUUUUAGUAAAUCAAAAUGUUUUAUUAAAAUGAUCAAAUUUCCAGGUGAUCCGAUCACACCUAAACAAAAAAGAUCGGUGGCGACUCCCAUAUUCGUUUUUGUUUUCAAAACAAAGUCGAUUCCCGUUUUCAAAAAAAUGGUUUCGACAGUAAGUAUCAAUAUUGAAUUGAAUGAAAUUGAGAUGAAGUAUGAUUAUGAAUGAAUAUUUGAUAGUAUAUUGUUGGAAAGUGGAAAAUUGUAUCGAAUUGAAUUGUACAUUGAAAGUGAAAUUGAAAUUGAGAAAUGAUUUGAAUACCCUAUUAACUAGUUGGGCUGAGUAGGAUAUAGUUGGCAUGCCAUAGGAUUGGAAGAGUACGGGAAUUUAUCGGCUUUGCUAAUCAGGCACUAUAUGUGUUGUAUCAGGUACCUCGUGUGUCGUAUCAGGCACCUCGUGUGUCGUUUUAGGCACUUUAUGUGUCGUAUACUGCUUCUCAUAUAUUGAUCAGGUACUGAAUACAGUUUUAGGCACAAUGUGCCAUACUGGUGUGUUUGGGUUUGGAAUCCGUGUAUCCGCCAAAGUCCGGGUUUGUUAAUAGGGAGAACAAAUGAAAUGAGAAAUUUAAAAUAAAUUGAUUGAUUAUACUAUUGAAAGAAAUGAGAAAGUUGAAUUGUGGAUUGGAAUUGAGAUUGAGAUUGGAAGUGAAAGGCAUGAACUAAAUGUUCAUGUAGUGAUUGAAAUUGAGGCAUAUGAUAUGUGAAUGAAAUUGAAGAAUAGCUAAAAAAAAUUGUAUUGUUAUUGUUAAUAAAUGAAAGUUUAAGAAUGAAUUGAUAUUUAAGAAAUUUAAUCAUUACAUGCUUGAUAAUUAUAUUCUAUUGUUAUUAUAAUUUGAAUUAUGGUAAUACUACUGAGUAUGAAAUACUCAGAGUACGGUUGUUUCCGUGCGCAGGUCGAUAGGAGUCCAGAGUCCCGGUCUAGCAUCCAGAACGAUCCCGACUCCAACAUCAAACUUUGGUGAUGUAUUCUUCUUUUGGUAAAAGUGGCAUGUACAUAGGUGUUGUAAUGGUCACUUUAAAAUGUUUUAUGAUUUUAGUUGUAAUAAAUGAUAUUUGGUGUUUUGGUACUAAGUUAAAUGAAAUGGUUUGACAAAUUUGGUAAGUUUGGUAUUAAACAUGGAAAGAAAAAUGAAUAAAGCUAGUUAGUAAAAUUUUGAAUGAUACUAUGAAUGUUUAUUUAAUUAAAAUAUUAAGCUAAUGUUUUAGGUAUAAUUUAGUUGUAUUUAAAGGUGAAUUGGAUUGGUUGUGAUUUUUUGUUUGGAUUGGUCUCGAUUUGAAUUUGCAGGGAAGGUUAGAUAUUUAUGAAAGAGUUAUAUUGAGUUCGCACAAAAAAAAUUAAAUUACGAAAAAUUUCCCCAAGCACCCAAAUUAGUCCCGAAUCACUCUUAAUUCGUAUUUUGGGCCUCGAGGGUCCAUCUAAGAGACUUUAAGUUUAUUUUAUAUUAUGUUUGAUAAUUAUUUGUAUAUUAAUUGUAAAUUGUCCGAUAGGUCCUAUAAUGCUCCAUAACCCUGUUUUGGCGACGAUUUGAGAUUAGGGGGUGUUACAAGUUACUAGAUGAUAGACAGCUAUCUUCAAUCCAACUGUAUCAACUAAAUCAAUUUAGACAGAAACGUUCCAAAACUUACAAAUCAUUCAGAUAGAUUCCACCUGAGGAUGAACGGCAUAAGGUAAGUACUGAUAGUGUGGUUAAUAAUGUGUCAGGAAUUGCUUCUACAGAGGGACUAAUUCAUAACCAGUAUGGAGUUUGGAUUGCUGGAUUUUCAAAAAAUAUUGGUUGCUGAUCUAUUAUCAAAUUGGAGCUUUAGAGUGCUCUUGAUGGGCUUCAAUUAGCAUGGAAUUUAGGGAUUAAAAUUCUGGUGCUUGAGAUGGAUGGUACUGAAGCAAUUUAGUUUAUUCAAACAAAUUCAAUUGAACAACAUCAGCCUGUAGUGCUACGAGCUAUAAAGGGUCUCUUACAACUUGAUUGGAUGAUCUAGAUUAAACAUGUGUUUAGAGAGGGUAAUAAGGUAACAGAGGGAUUGGCACGAAUGGCAUCCUCAAGACUGUUAGGCAAGCUUAUAUAUAUGCAAUAAUUAGAUGAAAUUCUUCAAUUAUUGAAUGAUGAUUAUUCUAGAAUGUCUUGGACUCGUCUAGCCUACUUAGGAGUUUUUCAUUUACAUUGUACCAAAAAAAUUUAUGAAAUCCCAUGUUAAAUGGCUUAUUGGAUUAAGUCUUGGACGUAGUGCACUUUAAUUACUAUUUAAUAAUUCACAAAAUAUUAUUAUUUGAAUUUAAUUAUAAGAAUAUAUAAAUAUAUUUUAAAAAACAUGAAAAUAUAAAUGUCAUAGAGCAAACAAAAAAUGAAUCUAUUUUUUUAAACCCAAUAAUUACCUUAGUUGUGUAGCACUCCUUAUCCGUAUUCAUUGCUGGAAUAGAGUACGAGGCAUUACCAGAGUUUACCAAAUUAAUUUUCCGUUAUUACAAGUUGAAUACUAUUCAUUUACCGAAACAUGUCAUGAUGUCCUUUAGAUGGGCCUCCAAAGCCCAAAACAUACUUCGAGACCAAAUCGGAAUUAAAUCGAAACCAUAGGGGAUUUUUCGCAAAAUCCCAAAGUUUUUAUUUUAUUUUAUAUAAGCUCAAUAUAACCCCUUUAUAAAUAUUUAACAUUUCCUACAAUUUUAAAACCAAGACCAAUCCAAACCAACCAAUCCAUUUCAACUAAUUUGAUACCAAAUCAUACUUCUAUUAUAAUUAUACCAUUUAAUAUAUUCAUCACUCUUUAUUUUAAUACAUAUUCAUUAAACAAGUCUUAACAUUUAUUUAAUCAUCAAACCAUAUACAUGCCAUAUAAAUCAAAAUGGAAAUUUACAAAAGCUACCGGAGAUAAUUUGGAUAGUGCGAUCCUCAGUGUUGAUCCGAUCCUCCGUAUAUUUUCACAUCAAUCUACAAGACACAUUGAAUACACCCAAGUAAGCUUAUAAAAGCUUAGUAAGUUCAUAGGCAUAAAACAUAAAUCUUACCAAAUAUUCAUACACUUAUACAAUAUACACAAUUAUUAAGUUCACCUGUCAACCACAAUCAUUGGUGAGUUCCCUUGUAUAAACUCACUACCACUUAUCCAUUUACUUUAAUUCUUUUGGGCCGAUGUGUUACAUACCAUUCUUAAUCAAAUUAGGGAACGGUUACAGAAAAUUAAGUACUUCACUUCCACUUUGCCAUAGUAUAACUACAAUCUUGCGUAUGAUCACUUAUCAUUUUUUGAAGCCAUAGCCUUACCACGGUCUUACACGGAUCACAUUUAUCACUUGUCACUUGUAACUGAUCAGAUAAGUAUAGCUAAAGCUACCACUUAUCACUUGUCACUGAUCAGAAGUACUUAAAUCCGAUGUUCUGUUCAAUUUGAUCAUUUAUUUGGUUUUCGCAUUGUUAUUUUAUUCCCAAUUCAUCAAUAAAUAUAUCUCAUCAUACAUUAUAUAAUUCAUAAAAUUAACAUUUAAUCAUUAAAUUUCAGCCAUUUGAACUUACCUGGGUCGAUUUGUAAAAUUUGUGAAAGUUCAGAGACUAAUCAACUACUUUUUCUUUUCCUCGACUUGCUUCGGGUUCUCGAUCUAUCAUUGUAAAAUCAUUCACUUAUCAGUAUUUACUUCACCUUCACUCUAUUUCACAUCCUUAAUGUUUAUAACCCACUUAUAAGUAACAUUAUAUAUAAUUUCACUAUUUACUUAUGUAUAUUCAACAAUGUCUAUCCGUGUCAUAUUCACUAAAUUAUUUUUAUCUUGAGAUAAAAAACUCAAAAUUAGGAUCUGCUAAUUUUUUCUAAAACUAGACUCAUAUAUAUUCUUAUCACAAAAUUUUCAGAAUUUUUGGUUUAGCCAAUAAGUACAUUUUAUUCUUUAAAGUCACCCCUAUUCUGCUGUCUGACAGUUCCGACCCUUCUUCACUAAAAACUAAUUAUCUCCUCGUACCGAAUUUAGAUGAUGUUUCCGUUUAUUUAUUUUGAAAAUAGACUCAUUCAGGAUUUUAAAAAUAUAAAUUUAAGCCUCUAAUUUUUUUCUCCAAUUUUUUAUGAUUUUCCAAAGUCAGAACAGGGGAACCUGGAAUUAUUCUGACAUUGUAUUACAAAAUUUAUUAUAUCUCAUGAUUUACAAUUCCUUUGCUUACACAAUUUCUUCUAUAAGAAACUAGAUUCAAUAAGCUUUAAUUUCAUAUUUUAUUCAUCCUCUAAUUUUAUUUCUACAAUUUUUGGUGAUUUUUCAAAGUUAGACUACUGCUACUAUCCAAAACUGUUUUAGUGCAAAAUGUUGAUUUCCAUUUUGCCCCAAAUUUUACAGUUCAUACAAUUCAAUCCUUGCUUAAUUAACCCCUAAAUUAAGCUAAUUUUUCUCAAUUAAUACUUUACCUAGACAUUAUAAGUUAUUUCACAACUACUGAAAUUUAGAAUUUCCACAUAAAACCCUAACUUCAAACUCUUUUACAAUUAGGUCUCAAACAUUCACUUUCUAUUCAAUUCUUUCAAUAAAAUAAGUAUAUAAACAAUUUAAAGCUCUAAUUCCAUGCUAAAUCAUCAUAUACUUCCAGCACAUAUUCAUAGCAACUUUCAAUUUCUUUCAUAGAAUCAAAAACUAAUGAAUUCAACAAGUAGACCUAGUUGUAAAAGUCACAUAAACACAAAAAUUUCAAGAAAUAAUCAAGAAUUGAACUUACUUGCAGUAAAAAUAUGAAAAACCAGCUUAAGGGAACUCUUCCAUGGUGUUUUUUUCUGAUGAGAAUGCAGAAAAAUAAAGAGAAAUCUAAAUAAUUUCACUUUAAUCCUAGUUUUAUUAAGUAAAUUUUACCAUAUUCCAAUUUUGCCCUUAAUUCUCCUUAUUUUCUUGCUGAUUUCAUGCCCUUGCCGUCCAGCCCAAAUAGACCUUGGGUCUAUUUUCCUUUUAAACCCUCUUUCUUUUAUCAUUUAAGUUAUUUAAUCAUUUCUCAUAAUUUUGCAUUUGUUACAAUUUAGUCCUUUUUGUUCAAUUAACUAUCGAAACUUUAAAAUUUCUUGAUGAAACUUUAAUACUAACUUAUUAACACUCCAUAAAUAUUUAUAAAAAUAUUUAUGGCUCGGUUGAAAAUUUCCAAAGUCUCAAUACCUUGUUUUCGAUUCUAAUUAUUUUAAAAUUUAUUUCUAGUACACUAUUCACUAUUUCAAAAAUUUUCCUAACUUCACAUUUAACUUAUACUCACUAAAUUAAUAAUAUUUUCUACUCAUUUGUCGGAUUUAGUGAUCUCGAAUCAUUGUUCCGACACCACUGAAAAUUCAGGCUAUUACAAGUUGUCUCGACCAUGAACAAGUUUAAAUUUGACUAGACAACUCGAUUUUAAAAGGCUUUUAGACUCGAGUCUAAGCUUGGCCCAAUCAAAUAGUCGAUAUCACUAUUGAAAAACAAUAAAAUAUUAAAAAUAUAUUUUAUAUUUAUAUUCAUAUAUUUAUAUUAAAUUUAAAUAUAUUUUAAGAAUUAUUUAUUGUAAAUUUGGACUAGGUCAGGAUGACACAAGGACAAAAAACCCUUACCCAAGCUCAACGAGAGUUGAGAUGGUCAAGUUAACUGGUCCAUGGGCAAGUAUACAUGUUACAAGUGUGUGUGAUACAUGAUUGUUUCUUAACCCCUUUACAAAGUUAAAAAAUUUCAUUUCUAUCAUGGGUGAAGUCAAUAAUUUUAUUUAAGGGUUGAGAUGAAAAUAUAAAAUUGUGGGGUCAAAGUUAAAAUGCUUAAAUUAAAUUAGUACUUUUUUGAGGGGCCAAAUUAAAAAAAAAUCAUUUGACCGACGUUUAAAAAAGGUUAAAUUGGUUUUUUUUUUAAGUUUUGGGGCCAAAGUUAAAAUGCUUAAAUUAAAUUACUACUUUUUAGAGGGGCCACAAUUAAAAAAAAUCAUUUGACCAAAGUCUAAAAAAGGCUUAAUUGAAUUUUUUUAAGUUUUGAGAGGGGCUAGAAAGUCAUUUCCCAAUUAACCCAAUGGGCCAAAGUCCCUAGCUACGACCUUAACCUCCGUAUACAAAAUAAUAAUCUUUUAUGAUAUAGUUUUUUUUUUUAAAAAACUCUCUAUAAUACAUAGAAGAGGAAUUUAGUUACAGCAAUGUAAAAUAAAGUAGUUUUACACUUUCCGUAACUUAUCUUGCUAUUAAUAUUGUAACAAUCAAAUCUUGUAUUUAUCAAUAUAAUUACACUUGUCAUGAAAUUUUUUAAAUAAAUAUGAUAUUUUUAUCAUAUUGAUCUAAAAUGUUAUCUAUAUUAAUAUAUAUUAAAUGGUUGAAUUUUUUUAAUAUAAAACAAAUAAUUAGUAAAUUUUAAUUUGUGUCAAACUUGGCAUGCAUAAUUUACAUGAAUAAAAUAUAAAAUAAGACGAUUGAAUUGUUAAAAAAGCCUGGGUUUCUAGAUUUUAUGGAAUGAAAAUCAGGAAUGAAAUUCAUUUUCAUUAUAGGACUUAUUCUAUCUCUUUUAGAAGAUACUAUGCCGCCACUCGGACUCGAACCGAGAUGCUCUAGCACUGUUUCCUAAGAGCAGCGUGUCUACCGAUUUCACCAUAGCGGCUUGCUCGAAAUCAUAAUAACUCAUUUUUUAGUCAAUCGUCGAGAUUGAAGGUGAAGGGGUCAAUUCAAUGUAAAAUGUCAAAUUUGUUAGGAAGCAUUUAAUUUUUUAUUGAUAAAUAACAACUCGUUGAAAUAGCAAUUUGAAGGUUCAAAAGGAAUCUUUAGUAUUUAUUGUAACAUUUUAUUUAUUUAAUUAUCCUUUCUAUUUAGUUAGGUCGUCAAUAGAGAUUUUUUAGUUUGUGUUUUCCUAAAAGAGAACAUAUCAAUCGUAUAAAAGAUCAUAGAAUUUUUUAAUUUUUUAAUUUUUCAAGGGUGAUGAUAAAAUUGCUUUGAAAUCCUUCUAAAAAAAAAGAGUUAAUAAUGAUAAAAUUAUAUUUUGACCUUAAAAAAUUAUAAUUCAAAUUUGACCCUGAAAUGAUUUUUUGCCUCCCUUUUGCGUCCCCCUCCUCACUCACUCUCUCUCACACACACACUAUUGUUUAAGCCCAUGAUUAAGUUUGUGUCACGAGUUAAUUGAACACGAACUCAAUUUGAAAAAUUAUUAAAAUAAUCUUUAAUUUUUAAUAAUUUUUCAAAUAAAUUAUAUCAUUAAGAUGAUACAUUUUUUUAUAUUUUAAUAAAACCAAUAAAAUUCUUAUAAAGUAAUAUUAAAAUUCAUGCUACCAAUAUUUACAAAAUUCUACCUUUACCACUCCAACUAAAGUUUUAUUUUAAUAUUUUUCAUAAGCUUUACUAUUAUUACACAAGCUUUUCUUUUUUCUUUAACUUGAAAGUUGAUGUAAUUUUAUACAAGUUAUUUCAUUUUUAGUUUCAAACCAUACGUUUGUAAUUUUCUCAAAUACGUGUGUUUAUAAAAAUGCAUUUUCCACACACACCUGUGUGAUAGAUUAACUUUUUUUUCGCUGGAUCAAAGAUCAUACACAAUAUCCAAAAAACUAAGAAAGUUACAAGCAAACAGAAUCGACCACCCCCACGCAAAACCAACACCCUUAACAAAAUUCGAUCUCAAAAACAAAAUACAAUAGAAAAAACAAAAAAGCCAUCGCACCCCUACAUAAACUCUACCCUCAAAAAAACAGAGCACUAAACAAAAACCAACAUCUAAUGAUCAGACCAAGAACAGUAACCAGCAAAACCAAAACUGCUGAGACAGAAACAGGUACCAGAACCCAAAAGGAAAACUCACCACCAAGCCUUGUACAUCCCAGGACUUCUAAUACCUGCAACCGCUAGAGCAAACGCCAAAUCGUUUCCAUUCUUGUCAGUAAUCGCAAAACAGACAUUGCCUAUUCCAGCCAACCUUAAAUCAAUUUCCCUGAAGCAAGGAAGCAGCACCCACGGUCUCAACUCCUUGUUCUUAAUCCAGCAACAUACCUCUUUAAAACCAAGUUCUAUAGUUAAAGAGCUUUUACUCAUCCACCCCAUAGCUAUAAACAUGUCUAAAGCAAUAAUAAUCCAACCCAACUCAGUAGCCAAGUAGUCUUUAGCAACCACUAGACCCGAAAACUGCCCUUGCCACCCCAUCCGCAUCUCUUAAAACCCCACCACACCCAACAUCAUCCUCAUUCACAACCCCACAUAAGAUAAAUUUAACCCAACCCUUUCUCGGAGGACACCAUAAUCUGCCACCCAUCCCAGCUUUUAUAACCUUAUUCCAACUUCUAAUCGGACAAAUCCACCAAAAUCUCUCCUCCACACUUAGAACAUCUUGGACGGCCUUCACCCACAUUAAAGCCCGCAACUUGGAUUGAAAUACCAAACCAUUCAUUGAAGGACAUUUGCUAUCGAACACUAGCUCGUUCCAGGCUAGCCAAACAGACCAACAUGCUACAGUCACCGAAAUCAACCAUAAACUUUUGCCCAUUCCUGAAUAAGAAACAUUGUUGCCUGAGGAGAAAAAAUAAAAAAAUCCUUCCACAAGAAACCACUUAGUAUCCCACCAUUCAAAAUUUUUUCUCCAAUGUUACAAGCUAAUUUUUAACCCAAAUACCCCUAAACCCAUUUACAAUUUAAACCAAAAAAUUACCAGACCCAAUACAACUUAGCCCAACUAAAGCCUAAACCAUCUAACUACCCAUUCAGCCCAAUACAAAACAACCCAAUUACAAUUAAACCCAAACCCAUAAAACACUAGCCCAAACCCGAAUGGCCCACUAAACCUAACCCUAAUCAGCUUCCACUUGUUUCUGCCUCCAACAACCUCUGAGCACCCCAGCGCCACAAUGUCCCAUUGCCCAUGCUUCUGCCACCACCUGCUCCACCGCCGCCAACCACCACCUGCACAUCAAACACGCAACAGCAGCAAGACAAUGUAACAAAACAGGCUAUAAAAGCCAAAUAGAAAACUGAAAAUAGGGUUCUUUUUCCCUUUCAUUUUUCUUUGUAAACAUCAACUAAAAAGAGAGUUUAAGAUUUCAAUAAACAUACAUAGGUCGUAUUUCAAACAAACAAAAGGGAUCCGAGAAUCAAAUCAGAUCAGAGGCAAAAGGUGACUCCUUUCUACGAGUAUUUUUCAUUCAAGCAUAUAUAUACGAAAAUAUAAAAAGAAAAUAAAAAGAAAAAAAAUAAAAAGAAAAAAAAAGAAAAAAAUUAGAGUUUUACCUUUCCCCUCACAAAUGAUUUUUUUUUCUGAAAUUAGGCCUAUUUAUAGCCCUCCAAAACGGCGUCGUUUUGGGGGCUAUACUUAAGCCCCAAAACGACGUUGUUUUGGCCUUACCCGAUCCGACCCGACCCGUCAGGCCUAGGGUUUGCGUGUUUUUGAACGGAAGGGCUAAUUACACAUUUAGCCCUUCCGCCUUUUUUUAAUUUACAAUCAAGUUUUAAUUUACUUUAAUUUGGACCUAAAAGUUGUUGCGUGAUUCGAUUUAGUCCCUUUACUAUUGUGCGUUUUAAAAUAGUUCAGAAAAUUGCAUUUUUAGCCCCCCUUAGUGUUGCCCGUGUUCAAAUAAGUCCCUCUCUUUGUUUUUAUUUUUAAAAUUACCCCAAAACUUUGUUUUUGUUUUAAAUUUAGUACUUUCUUCAGAUUUGAAUUUAUUUUCGUAUUGUCUUUAUUUUCUUUUUAUAUAUUAUUACUGUUAUUUUUAUAUUUAUUACUAAUAUAUAUUUAUUUUAGUUACUACUAUAUAUAUAUUACGUAUAUAUUAUUUAUAAUGUAUCUAUGUAAUAUAAUUACUAAGUUUUUUAAACAUUAAAAGUAUUUAUAUUUGUAUAUUAUAUAAGUGUUCUAAUACUAUAUCAUAUAUACACAUGCAUUUUUCAUAUUAAUAUAUAUAUGCUUUUAAUAUUAUAUUAUUAUGUAUAUGUUUUAAUAUUAUUAGCUAUCUAUCUUUCAUACCAUUUUAUGUACAUUUCUAAUACCAUCAUAUAUUAUAACAUCAUUAUUAUUUAUAUAUAUAUGUACGUAUCUAUAUAGCGUACGAAUAGUUUUUUAUUAUUAUCAUUUCUAAUAUAAAUAUAUAUAUCAUAUAGGUUUAUAUACAUAUCAUACAUGUUUCUUUAUUUUUAUUUUUAUUAGUUAUAUAUAUAUUAUUACUAUUUUAUGUAUAUAUUUUUAUUAGUUAACAUUCUAUUAUGUCCUUAGAUAUAAUAGAGUUCUUUUGUAAGAGCCUGCAUUCGCUCUUUAUCAUUCAAAUGAAUAUCAAUGAAGAUGCAUUUUGUCAUAAUCUUUCACAUUAUCACUAAUUUCAUAAUCAUUUUCUCCUUUCAUAGCCAAUCCUUACAUUUGCCUCAUGCCAUGCCAUAACAUUUCAUUUGUUGGUUCCAAUACUUGGAUGCCCCUCUAUAGUUUCCUUUUCCAUUCAACUUUCAGGUGCUCAGAUGUUAACAGCAUGAACAAACCUGUUACGAGUCCUGAAAUCGGUUUUGAGAAGGUUGUUUGUUUAGGAGAAUUCGAAGCCGAAGAAAAUGCUGAAGACUAUGUCUCGUCUCCUGACUUGCUAAGAAUGGUGGAAUAACAGGAUAAACAGAUUUUGCCUCAUCAAGAAUCUGUUGAAACAAUAAAUCUGGAACUGAAGAAAGGAAGCAAGAAGUGAAGAUUGGGACUCCUAUUUCAGGGGGCACCAAGCAUAAUUUGAUUGCUUUGCUCCGCGAGUACAAAGAUGUAUUCGCAUGGUCAUAUCAAGACAUGCCAGGAUUAGAUGAAGAGAUAGUGGUCCACAAACUCCCAUUAAAACCGGAAUGCAAACCCAUUCAACAAAAGCUAAGACGGAUGAGACCUGAAAUGUUAUUAAAGAUAAAAGAAGAGGUCAAAAAGUAAUUCGAUGCGGGUUUCUUACAAGCUUCCAAAUACCCAGAAUGGGUGGCUAACAUAGUCCCGGUACCAAAGAAAGACGGUAAAGUACGAAUGUGCGUGGAUUAUCGUGACCUGAAUCGAGCAAGUCCUAAAGAUAAUUUUCCCUUACCACACAUUGAUACGUUGGUGGAUAACACAUCAAAACAUUCAUUGUUUUCUUUCAUGGACGGAUUCUCGGGGUAUAAUCAGAUCAAGAUGGCCCCUAAGGAUAUAGAGAAAACUACCUUCGUAACAAUGUGGGGAACAUUCUGCUACAAGGUGAUGCCAUUUGGGUUAAAGAAUGCUGGGGCAACAUAUUAGAGGGUUAUGGUGACGUUAUUCCAUGACAUGAUGCAUAAAGAAAUAGAGGUCUACGUCGACGAUAUGAUUGCUAAAUCCCGAGGGGAAAAAGAGCAUGUAGUGAACCUGAAGAAAUUGUUCGACAGACUGAGAAAGUUUCAGCUAAAGCUCAAUCCGGCCAAAUGUACGUUUGGGGCUACCUCGGGAAAAUUGCUGGGCUUCAUUGUCAGUGAAAGAGGUAUCGAGGUUGAUCCAGAUAAAAUAAAAGCCAUUCAAGAGUUACCACAUCCGCGCACGCAAAAGGAAGUCAGAGGAUUUUUAGGGAGGUUAAACUACAUCGCCCGAUUCAUCGCUCAACUUACCAACCAAUGCGACCCAAUCUUUCAGCUUCUUCGAAAACAUAACCCGGGAGAAUGGAAUGAGGAAUGCCAGGUGGCCUUUGAUAAGAUAAAACAAUAUUUGUGAUAGUACCGCAAACUCCGGGAAGACCAUUAAUUUUGUAUCUGACAGUGUUCGAAAAUUCAAUAGGUUGCGUACUGGGGCAACACGACGAGUCAGGAAAGAAAGAAAAGGCGAUCUACUACCUCAGUAAAAAGUUCACUGAAUAUGAGGCAAAGUAUUCAUCCAUUGAAAAAUAAUGUUGUGCUCUGGUUUGGGUAGCUCGAAGACUCAGGCAAUACAUGUUGUAUCAUACGACAUGGCUAAUUUCAAAGCUAGAUCCAAUAAAGUACAUGAUGGAAUCACCUGCACUCUCAGGAAGAAUGGCACGGUGGCAGAUCUUACUAUCGGAGUACGACAUCGUCUAUGUGAGUCAAAAGUCAAUAAAAGGAAGCGCAAUAGUUGACUUCUUGGCAACUCGAACAAUGGAUGAAUAUGAGCCAUUGAGAUUUGAUUUCCUAGAUGAAGAUUUGAUGUGCAUUAUAGAAAAAGAGGACGAGUCAUCAAAAAAGAAAUCAUGGAAGAUGAGCUUUGAUGGUGCAUCGAACGUAUUGGGGCAUGGGAUUGGAGCGGUCUUAGUAUCACCAGAAGGGAACCAUUACCCACUCACUGCCAGGCUGAACUUCUUCUGUACUAAUAACAUAGCGGAAUAUGAGGCAUGUAUCAUGGGACUUCGUACAGCUAUUGAACGAAACGUCAAAACUUUAGAGGUAUACGGAGACUCAGCCUUGGUGAUUUACCAAAUCCGUGGAGAUUGGGAAGUGAGAGACUCGAAACUGGUUAAAUACAGUGAUCUAGUGGCAGAGUUGAUUAAAGAAUUCAAAGAAAUAACUUUUAAUUACCUCCCAUGAGAAGAAAACCAAUUGGCUGAUGCCCUGGCCACUUUGGCUUCAAUGUUCAAAGCAAACAGAGAAACAAAAAUAAUGCCUCUUCAAAUAAGCAUAUAUGAAGUCCCUGCACAUUGUUUCAGCAUUGAAAAAGAGACAGAUGGACGACCAUGGUUCCAUGAUGUCUUAGAAUAUAUCAAGAAUCAAAAGUAUCCCGAACAAGCAAACGAGAACGACAAAAGAACAAUCAGAAGAAUGGCAGCGGGAUUCGUUCUUGAUGGGGACAUCCUGUACAAAAAAGGAAAAGAUCAGGUGCUCUUGAAAUGCAUAGAUGCUGUUGAAGCUAGAAAAAUACUUAAGGAUGUCCAUGAACGAAUUUGUGGGACACAUGCCAAUGGUUUCACUAUGGCUAGGAAGAUUAUGAGAUUCGGAUAUUACUGGCUGACGAUGGAAAGUGACUGUAUUAAUUUCGCAUGAAAAUGCCACAAAUGUCAAAUUUAUGGUGAUAAAAUUCAUGUAGCCCCUUUGCCCCUUCACGUCAUGACUUCUCCGUGGCCUUUUUCUAUGUGGGGCAUGGAUGUUAUAGGGCCAAUUUCCCCAAAAGCUUCUAAUGGACACCGAUUCAUUUUUGUGGUUAUUGAUUACUUUAAAAAAUGGAUAGAAGCUGUAUCGUUUGCCAAUGUGACGAAGACUGAGGUUUGCAGGUUUUUGAAAAAGAAAAUCAUUUGUCGAUAUGGUUUGCCUGAAAGAAUCAUUUCAGAUAACGCCUUGAAUUUGAACAACAAGAUGAUGAAAGAAGUGUGUGAGCAAUUCCAAAUAAAGCAUCAUAACUCCUCGCCCUAUCGCCUAAAGAUGAACGGAGCUGUUGAAGCGGCCAACAAGAAUAUUAAAAAGAUUAUUGGAAAAAUGACCGAGACAUAUAAAGACUAGCAUGAGAAGCUACCAUUUGCUUUGUAUGCAUAUCGCACAUUUGUACGGACAUCUACGGGGGCAACUCCUUUCUCUCUGGUCUAUGGAAUGGAAGCUGUGCUACCUAUCAAAGUUGAGAUCCCCUCUCUACGAGUCUUAAUGGAGCCAAAAUUAGAGGAAGCAGAAUGGGUUCGAGCUCGAUAUGACCAGUUAAACCUCAUCGAAGAAAAAUGUCUAAAGGCAAUUUGUCAUGGACAGAUGUACCAGAAGAGAAUGAUCGCGGCUCAUGAUGAGAAGGUACAGCCAAGAGAAUUCCACGAAGGAGAACUCGUGCUGAGAAAGAUUCUCCCAAUACAAAGAGACCUGCGAGGAAAAUGGGCACCGAAUUGGGAAGGACCAUACGUCGUAAAGAAGGCAUUCUCGGGUGAAGCUUUGAUUCUCACUGAGAUGGAUGGGAACGAGUCACCAAAUCCAGUGAACUCAGAUGCUGUGAAGAAAUAUUAUGCCUAAAAAAAACAAAAAAAAACAAAAAGGGUGAUCAAGGCGAAAACCCGAAAAGGGCGUCUUGAUUAACACAAAAGAUUAGGAUGAAAACCCGAAAGGGCAUUCUAAUGAAGCAAACACUGGCUUAAAAAGUAAGGCGUUUUGAACGGUGGGUCAAAUAGUGAGACUACAGUAUUUGAAGCAUUUCUGAAAGCUCGAAAUCUUCUACGCAAGAAGCCAUGCUCGAAAAGAUUCUUGAUUGAGGAACGUGGAAGACUUCAUGUAUUGAAUAUCUAGAGCAUUUGUAUUCAUUGAAUGCAAUCCCUUUUCUCUUUAUGACACUCUUUUACUAUCAUUGGUUAACUUUCUUUGUUUGCUACAUUUGAAAUGAAUAAAUGUGAGGUAUCCUUUUGUCCCUACCUGACCAUGCAUCUCAUUAUGUUGUUCAUUUACAUGAUAAAUAGUGAAAUGACAUACUCUAAACAAAAGAAAUGUUAAGUAUUACUCAGGUAAGAAUUUGAUAAGUACAAGAGCCUUAACGCAAGGACAAAGCUCAACCAGGGGCAAAAGGGUGAUAUCUGAGAAACACAGAUUAUUCGUGAAGCUUGAGGACGGGUGCGGGUACUGAAGAGAAAGUCAAGAGUCGAAGCAAUGAACGCGGAUUAUCAAAAACUGUGACGAAAAAGGGAUAUAUGACAAACAUGGCUAAAGCUCAUAGCAUAAUCAUGUAGGCAUAAAGGCAUUUAAGACAAACAUGUGCAUAUCAUGAUAACAUCAUGAAUGACAUAUACAGGUACUCCAGCGGAGCAAGAGGAUGCAAUGUUAGUUAUACUGAAUCAAGGAAAAGACACUUGAGCUCCACCAGAUGACAUCUUUUGGUAUGUGGAUGUUUCAUUUCUGCGAGAAGUGAGUUGAGCCUCGGGGCACGCCGAGGUAUUUUCAAAUUCUACUUUCAAAAAAAUCAACUCAUAUUGCGAAAGGUGAGUUGAGCGUUGGCUCACGUGUUGAGUCACUUUCAAUUUCUGUUUUUAUGUCUGUUUUCUAAAUCAACUCAUAUUGCGAGAGGUGAGUUGAGCCACGGGGCACGCCGAGGUAUUUUCAAAUUCUACUUUCAAAAAAAUCAACUCAUAUUGCGAAAGGUGAGUUGAGCCUUGGCUCACGUGUUGAGUCACUUUCAAUUUCUGUUUUUAUGUCUGUUUUCUAAAUCAACUCAUAUUGCGAGAGGUGAGUUGAGCCUCGAGGUACGCUGAGGUAUUUUCAAUUAUUUUUUGUCAAAAAAAUCAACUCAUAUUGCUAGAGGUGAGUUGAGCCUCGGGGCACGCUGAGGUAUUUUCAAUUACUGUUUGGCAAAAAUCAACUCAUACUGCGAGAGGUGAGUUGAGCCUCAGGACAUGCUGAGGUAUUUUUGAUUUCUGUUUUUCAAUUUAUGUUUUCAAAAAUCAACUCAUAUUGCGAGAGGUGAGUUGAGCCUCGGGGCACGCUGAGGUAUUUUCAAUUACUGUUUGGCAAAAAUCAACUCAUACUGCGAGAGGUGAGUUGAGCCUCAGGACAUGCUGAGGUAUUUUCGAUUUCUGUUUUUCAAUUUAUGUUUUCAAAAAUCAAUGCAUAUUGCUAAAGGUGAAUUGAGUCUCAGGUCGCAUAGCGAGGUAUUUUCAAUUUAUGUUUUCAAAAAUCAAUUCAUAUUGCUAGAGGUGAAUUGAGCCUCAGGUCAUACGCCGAGGUAUUUUCAAUAGAUGUUUUUUUUCAAUUUCUGCUUCUCAAAAAAAAAAUUAACUCAUAUUGUGAGAGGUGAGUUGAGCCUUGGCUUACACGCUGAGGUAUUUUCAAGUUCUGCUUUUCAAAAAAAAAACAAUUCAUAUUGCGAGAGGUGAGUUGAGCCUCGGCUCGCACGCUGAGGUAUUUUCAAUUUUUCGUUUUUUCAAUUUAUGCUUUUCAAAUUCUACUUUCCAAAAAAUCAACUCAUAUUGCGAGAGGAGAGUUGAGCCUUGGGUCACAUGUUGAGGUAUUUUCAAAAUCUGCUUUUCAAAUUAAGUUUCAAAAAAACCAACUCAUAUUGCGAGAGGUGAGUUGAGUCUUAGCUCACGUGCUGAGCUAUUUCUGUUUUAAUGUCUGUUUUUAAAAAAUGGUCAAUUCAUAUUGCGAGAAAUAAGUUGAGCUUAGGAUCACAUGCCGAGUAAAGAAUAAAGAUUAGAGUUAAUCGAAGAUACAGAUUUUAUAUCCUUGAAGUUACAGUAAAGCUAAUUGAAGUUUUAGUAGAGAAGAUCGAGGCUACAAAUCUCUUCUCCUCAAAUCUCUGAAGUUGCAGUGGAGUGAAUCAAAGCAACAAUUCCUAUGCCCUUGAAGAUGCAGUAGGAUAAAACGAGGCUAUUAGAAGAAAAGAAGUACCAAGAAGUUAAGAUUCAGCGAGACUAAGCAAAAUUGGCCAUUUUUGAGUCUUUGCUCCAUUCUCGUUACACGACAAUGAGCAAAGAGGGGCACUGUAAUGGCCAAUUUUUGGCCCAGACAAAUAAAAAAUAACAAAACCCAAAACAAUAAAAAAGAGUCCAAAAUAAAUAGUCCAUUUACAAUAUUAAACAGCCCAAUUUACAUCAAACCCUAGCCCACAAAAUAUUUUCUGCUAAAAAAGAACCCUAGCCACCAAAGCAUUAUAGCCGCCGUUCCUCCCAUGCAUGCCACCUCGGCCAUCAUGCCCUGACCGUCGCCUCUUCCACGCGUCGCAUGGCACCUGCAACAGAGACAAAAACAACAGCAAGAGAAAGCAUGCGAUGAUGGAAGAAAAAAUAAACAAAGGAACAAAAACAAAAAAUAUGGGAUGAAUGUUUGGUAGAUCGGCUUUAAAAAGCCAAAAUCUAUCAUUUGUAAGGGGGGAUUUUAGAGAAGGAUCGAUUGUAUUUUAGGAGGAAAAACCGAUUGUAAAUAAGUUUUUUUUCUGUUUUCGAAUACAAAAGAAGAGGGAUUGUAUUACACAGAUUAUUAAUCAAAAGGAGAAGAAAAAAAGGGGGAAUAAAAAAAAUACAAAAGUCGGAUUGAAUACAAAUACGAAGUAUAAGAGAGGAACGAGGGGUCUUACCGGAGUCAUGCUCGUGCCGUCGGCGACCAUGGCGCCUGGGAUCUUGAUGGAGGCGGCGUCCGACUGAAAUGGGAAGAGAGAUGAGAGAGCAUUUGAAAGUUUUUUUAAGUUUUUUAAAAGAUGCAGAUGUGAAAAUGGUGUUUAAAACAAAAGGUGAUUUUAAUAGCAGAAUAAAACAGCACAGUUUGGUGCUGGACCCAUGCCUUUUGGCUUAAAAUGGGGAAUUGGCGCAAUCGGUCCCUCUCCUUCGCUCUUGCAUUCAAUUUGAUCUUUCCCUAUGUUCUUUAUUUUUUUUAUUUAUUUUUCCCCUAAAAUUGGCGCAUCUGUUCACUUCAGUCUGGGCUGAAAUGUUCCGUUUUGGGGGUUUGGUAUGUUUGUUUUUUUUAAUCCCUGUUGGUUUUCGCGCAGGGCAUUUUAAUCCUCCUUGUGGUUUGAUAGAUUUUAUUUGCUUGUAAAUUAUCUCCUUGAUUUCAUUUUUACUUCAAUUGGAUCAUUUCAUUAUUUUUAUUGUUAUUCCAUUUUAAAUUGUUGCAAAUAUUCGUAGUUUUCUUUGGAAAAUUUGUUUAAUAAAUGUUCUUUGGAAUUAUUUUUCUUUCUUGAUUCCAUCAGUUGUUGUAUAUAUAUAUUCAUUCGUAUAUGCUUUUAUAUUGCAUAUUGAUGUAGUGCAUCACAUUAGAAUUAAUGGUUUUAUAUUUUUGUAUUGUUUAGAUUAUUCUGAUAGCUAGUGUAAAUGCCUUUAUAUGUUAUUUUAUGUACAUGUAUGCAUAAUUCUUUUUGGUUUGAUUUUAUUCCAUGAGUAUAAUUUCUAUUGGGUUAGUAUACGCCAUUUAAAUUGUGUUGUAUAUUACUAAAUUUAAAUUUCCUUUCAUAUAGUACAUAUUAUAAGUUUUGUUUGUAUGUUAUUAUUUUAUAUAUUAUUUCUUUUUUCCCAUAUUUCAAACUGUUACAUUGGCUACCUAUCAUAAAAUCUUUUUUAAAUUAAUUUUAAUUUGUUGCAUGUAUCAUGGUUUCAAAUUUCUUAUUUGAUUUAGCAUCAUUGAUUUCAAGCAUGUUUAUCAUCGUUUUAAAAUUUGUUGCAUUUUGUUUGUGUUAAUUAGUUCUAUAUCCCUUGGAAAAUCGUUUCUUCGAUAGAUAGGUUCUUGAAUGUCAAUGUAAACAUUUGCAUAAUGUAUGACGUGAGUUUAUUAGUAUUGUGUAUAUUCCUAGAUACUAUUAUAUGUAUAUGCAUGUUUUUAUUACCAUAUUGUGUAUAUUAUUAUUACAUUUAUUUUAUUCCCACUAUAUUUAUUAUUAUUAUUAGUACAUAUAUUCUAUAGUUUUUGUAUACAUUUUUUAUAUAUAGUAUUAUUUUCAUAUAUCCUUAUAGUUAUUACUAUACUUAUUAUUUUAUUCUAAUGUUAUUAUGUAUUCAUUUUAAAAUAUAUAUACAUGUAUUUAUAUAGUAUUAUCAAUGUAUAUAAUUUUCUUUAUGUUAUUAGUAUUUAUAAUGUACUUUGUACAUAUUCAUUAUAUAUUAUAUAGGUAUGCAUUAUGCGUGUAUUUUAGUGUUACUAUGUACAUACAUCUUUCAAGAUUUAAAUUUUUUUAUACAUCAUGUAUAUAUUGACUAUAUAAGUAGUAUAUAUAUAUUUUGACUAUUUCAUGUAUAUAUUUCGAAUAUUAUGUAUAGUAUAUUUCUGACACUACUACUAUUCACAUAUAUAUAUUUUUUGGUGUGCAUAUUCUUAUUACCGUUAUUAUUAUUAUAUAUAUUCAUUGUUUUCUCGUAUUUGAUACUAUUAUUACGUUUAAUCUCGCAUGCAUUGUUAUUGUUUUUUUUUUUCAUUAUUGUCAUAUUCGUUAUUCGCUUCCAUAUAUUUCUGGCUCUUUUAUUUAUUUUUAUUUCACAUCAAUUUGCUUUGCAUUAUUUCGAAAAUCUUAUUCUUGUUUUUAAUAAGUGAGGCAAUGUAUUGAUUUAACAUUAAACCGUAAGUUUCAUCGCUAUGUUGGAUGGAAUUUGUCGGCUUGUGUUAAAACGGUAUAUCCUUCUCAAAAACCGAAAACUAAAAUUUCAUGUCUUUUCAAUUGGAUCGCAACUAAAUGUUACAUUGAAUUCGUAUUUUUGAAAAUCAAGACGACACAUGUUUAUGAGAUACCAAUUUUGGGGGUCGCGAGGGUGCUAAUACCUUCCUCGCGCGUAACCGACUCCCGAACCCUACUUUUUCUCUGGAUUUUAACGUAGACCUAAACUCAGCCUUCUUUUUGUUUUAAAAAUAAAAGAAUCUAAUAGGUGUCCGAUCACACCCUAAAAAAAAAGAUCGGUGGCGACUCCCUGUUUAUUUUAAAAUCAAAUUUUAGUUUUCAAGUUUUCAAUAGAUUGCCACAAUUAGCGACCAAGUAAAGCUAAAUUUUUACGUCGCUACAGUUGGCGACUCCACUGGGGACCCCUUUUUGAGAGUCGUGUCUGGAAUUAAACUCGUGUUGUCAAAAUUUUCAAAGUUCCUUGUUCAAAUUAAUAUUUAAUCAUAAUCCUUAAGUUUUGUUUUCGAAAAAAUCAUACAUACGCAUUAUUUUGUAAAUAUCUCCUAAUUUGUUUUAUCUUUUGUUUUUCAGCUUUAAGUUUUAUGGUUUUAGUUUUGUAGUUUUUUAAAUAAAACGUAAAGGUUGGUGAGUUUCUCCCCACACACCGUGCACGUGCAUUCUUGUAUAACAUGAGCUCUAUACCCGGGCUCCGUCCGUUUAAGUGAAAGUAAACACUACGCCUUCGUGAGUUAACUCGUCCCUCCGCACAGGCUAGUGAAUACUUUCGGGUUACAUAUGACUUAUGCUUUCGUGAGCUAACUUGUCCCUCUGCAUAGGCAUAAGUAAAUGUAAUCCCUCGAAUUGAACUCGUGAGCCUGUGAUGGACUACGACCGAGGCUUCGUACUAAUCUUAGUAGAUGACAGUACGGACAAUUCGAGUACCUAUCUAGAACCGAAACCGCAUAUAGUGAACCGUACGAGCCACCUAACUAGAGCCAUGCCGAACCUCCGUCCGUUAAUGGUCACCAAAAUAAGUACGCGAGAGAAACGCCUCUUCUCUCUCAUUUUCUUUAUAUUUACACUAUUUAUGCAAAAGAACUGAAUCGGGUAACUUAAUUUGUUUCUCAAUUUAUAAUUGUUGUGGUUACUAACCAAGUUUGUUUGUUUUCAUUCUUAUUUUACAUCAUGCAUUAUAGGCAUCAUAUUAGGAAGGUGUUGACUAGAGAUUUGGUUGCCAAAAAACGAGUUUCUAAUAGAAGAGUUAAUUAUACAAACAACCGAGAAGAAUGCCGUGGUUCGGGACUAGUCUCUAAAAACUCAGAAAGGAAAAGGAGAUAGUCUAGUGGAGGGAUGUAUUGCUAAUCUGCCCGAGCACGUAACUGUGAAUGUUCGCCAGAAUAACCUUGAAGAUUUGGUUCGGGUUUGGAAUCAGUGGGACUCGGACACUAGGGGUAUCUUCACCGAGAGAUAUGGAGACAUAGCCAAUUUGAUUGCUGUCAACGUAGACGAACGAUUGAUCCAAGCCAUGGUCAGAUUUUGGGAUCCGGCUUACCAAUGUUUUACCUUCAAUCUAGAAGAUAUGACUCUGACUAUAGAGGAGUACGUUGCUUUGCUUUGUGUUGAAAAUGCACAAUUCUAUAAAGUAUAUGUGAAGGAGCCUAAGCCGUUGACCUUCAAGAAAAAGUUAGUGAGAUUGACAGACAUGACUGACGUAUGGGCCGAAAAACAGAUAAAGAAGAAGAAUGAAACCAUUUGUAUUCCAUGGUCUUUCCUACGAGAAUUGGUUCUGAACCAUCCCGACAUGUUGAAAAGAGUGAAUCUAUUUGCUUUGGCCAUUUACGGUUUGAUCAUCUUCCCUAAAGUCCUUAGACACAUAGAAGUUGCAGUGGUGGAUUUCUUCGAAAGAUUAAAGUAAGGAAUCAACCCUGUCCCGACUAUCUUAGCCGAGACCUUCAAAUCCUUAAACAAUUGUAGGAAGGUAGGGAAGGGACGUUUUAUCGGAUGCGCGCAGUUACUCAAUGUCUGGAUUUUAAGCCAUUUCUGGAAAGUAGAGCACACACUAUACCACAUGUUUUCAAAAACUUUCGCCCCAUUGGAAGCCUAUCUUGAGAGAGAAUGGCCAAAGGAUGUCACCGAAGAGCAUUGGGUUUCAGUUUUUCAGAACCUUCGAGCUGAAGGUGUAACCUGGAGAGCACCAUGGAUCCGCCCUUCAGUUCUGUUAUACAAGGUUGGAAAUCAAGAUUGGGUACCAUUACUCGGGUUAUGGGGAGGAGUUGGAUAUGCUCCGCUAUUAGUCCAAAGGUGAUUUUCUUCGCGAUAAUUCAUACCCGCAACUGGAGGAUUAGCAUAGUCCGAGUUCGCUUUCACGGGUAAAGGUUAUAUGAAGAGGAUCCGAGACACUGCAAAGUCUUGGAAGAAAAUUCAUCUCAUUUAAUUAGCCUUAUAUGCUGAUACCCUUACCCAAGAUUACGACAUAUGGAGAAAGCAACGGGUGAACAGUCAGCAAAUCUCGUCAAUGAACUACACUGUCUAGAAUCCUUUCUCGGAGGAAAUGCCGUCUGAGCUAGAAAUGGCAAGACAAGAAUUUAAACGAGAAAAGGCCAAGAUGUCUCAGGACCUUAGUGCUCUUCAAGAGGAAAACUACCAAUUGAAGAUUGACAUUCAGAUUGAAAGAUCUAGAACCGAGAAAGUGCAAAAAGAAGUUGAAGUCGUGAGAAAUGACUUAAGGGACCUCCAUCUGGAAAAUAAAAAGUUAAGAGGCACAAUAAAAAAUAGUGGGCUGGGCAAGUCGUCGGUAGAAUGGAAAGAAGAAAUAAGCAACAUUAAAGGCGGGAUGUAAUUUUGGAAAGGAAAAGAGGAGGAAAAGGCUGCGCGGGCUAUGAUGGAGCUAAGGAAGAAAAACACCGAAUAUGAAGCUAUGUCUGACGAGGUAAUGACUAGUCGAUCUAAACUUCAAGAACUAAAAGAGAGGAUACGAGAGUUAGAAGAUAUGCUGCAAGAUCAUCAACAACAGCUAGAUACUCUCUUGAAGGCUUUGGAAGAAAAAGAUAGUCAGUAUGAUAGAGACGUUCGUGCUUAUGAAGAGGGCCUCCAAGAAAAAGAAAUGCAACUUAGCUAUUUGAUCAAUUAAGUUCGUGGGGUAGCCAUGUACGUGGUACAAUUAUCGGAAGAAGCUGAAAUUCUCAUUUGCCAAUUCCCUCCAAGUCGAAGAUCAAACAUAUCAGAGUUCUUAGCACGAGUAAAGAAAUACGACGACAUAGCUAGGAAGUUUGUGUAAUGGUUGAAUCGAAAAUGGAAAAAUGUUUUGUAAUGAAAUCUUUUGAUGAAUGAAAUGCCUAAAUAGGGGCUACCUUGAAAUCAAUACCAAUUUCUUGCAUUUCCUUCAUGAUUGACAUUCAUUUAUGCAUUCAUUCAUUCAUUCAUUCAUUGCAUAUCCCAUAAUCAUUCGCUAAGGUUAAAAUAUACAAUUCGCAGUUGUAAUACCACAAGCCUGGAACCACAUCAUUCGUAUAGAACGCGUCGACAAGUUAGGGCAAUGGAGGCUGAAUUCAAUGAAAGAAUCGAAAGAAUGGAAAGAGUCCAAAGGAAAUUACAAGAGCAGUUGGCCAAGUCACAACAAGAGACAAGAGAUUUAAUGGUGAGAUCUCGAGAAGAAUCACUCGAACAGAAGGAUCAAAUGGCCAAUAUGAUGGAAAUGAUGUCAGCUUUAGUUAAAGGAAAGGGACCCAUGCAGAGCCCUGACGUCUAGGAACCUCGGUCAAGAGUUAAUCACAGUCAAGAUCCGCUCUAUCCCUCAGGAUUCACUCUGCCGCAUGCCCACGCAACACAAAGAGGGUACACCCAAGGGGAACCCACAGACCUAGAGCAACGGGCGAUGCCACCUGCUCACAUAUGGCAAGGAAUGUUUGUAUCAAACCCGGGGGCUAGUCCUGCUGAUCCACUCGUUCCAGAUUUGGACGAUCUAGUAGAAUUAGCCAAGUUGAAAACCGGUGAUCACGGGGUUCAAGAGAAGUAUAGGAGCUUAGAGGAAAGACUUAAAGCAAUAGAGGGUACUGAAGCCUUCUCUGCACUGAGUGCCAAAGAGCUCAGUUUGGUGCCCGAUCUGGUUCUGCCUCCGAAAUUUAAAGUACCAGAUUUUGAAAAAUACGAUGGCACGAGAUGUCCAAAGGCGCAUCUUGUUAUGUUUUACCGGAAAAUGACUGGUUACGUGAAUGAAGACAAGCUACUCAUACAUUGUUUUCAAGAUAGUCUAGUAGGAUCGGCUCUUCGGUGGUACAACCAGCUUAGUAGGGAAAAGAUCCGAUCCUAGAAGGACUUGGCGUCAGCCUUUUGUGAGCAGUACAAGCAUGUAUCGGAUAUGGUGGCUGAUCGAAUGACCCUACAAAUGAUGGAAAAGAAACCAGCAGAAACUUUUAGACAGUAUGCACAAAGGUGGAGAGAUACCUCAGCCCAAGUAGAGCCUCCACUGACUAAGACUGAGAUAACAGUCCUUUUCAUCAAUACUCUGAGAGCACCAUUCUAUGACAAGCUGGUGGGAAGUGCUACGAAGGAUUUUUCAGAUAUCGUAAUAUCCGGAGAACUUAUUGAGAAUGCCAUCAAAAGCAGUAGAAUAGAAGGUCAAGAAAGUUUAAGAAGGGUAGCGCCCAUGAAGAAAAAAGAAUCAGAAGCUCAUAUGGUGGGAAUGGGAAGCCGUUAUACCCCUAAUCCAUAUCCAAACCAACCCUGACCUCGAAUUUAUCCUCCUCCGAAUUUCUAUUAUCCUCCUCAGACCCCUUACUACCAAGCAUCACCUCCUUCCUACCUUGUAUACGCCAUGAACAACCAAAGGCCCGUCACUACAUUCCCACAAAACACUCUACUCGCUCAAAGCCAACCCAGAAAUGAACCAAGACCAACAAGGCCCAAUCCUGAGAGACCGCAAUUCACCCAUAUUCCUGUGUCGUAUGGGAACUGUACCCAAAACUCUUGGAGAAGCAAUUAAUAUCUCCCCAUUACAUGGCACCCCUAAAACCUCCAUACCCGAAAUGGUACGAUCCAAAUGUUAGUUGUGCAUACCAUUCCGGGAACCAGGGGCACUCUACGAAAAACUGCCUGGCUUUCAAAAGGAGAGUUCAAGGACUCAUCGACGCGGGUAUUCUGCGAUUUGAUGGUACUGGCGAUACGUCCGGGAACCCAUUCCCAAACCACGCCGAAGGGAAUGUGAGCGCAGUGGGAGAGGAGGACAAACGACAAAGUAGAAGAUGGGUUUCUGAAAUAAGAACACCUCUGCAGAAAAUCUGGGAAGUGCUAGUUGAAAAGGGGUUGCUUUGUCAUCUUAACAAAGUAUUCGAGGGAAGAAAUACAAAAGGUCAAAGUUUUUGCGAAUUCCAUGGUAUUGAGGGGCACGACAUUCAAUCCUGCGAAGAGUUCAGGAGAUUACUGCAAAAUAUGAUGGAUAAUAAGGAGAUUGGGAUUUUUUAUAAAGGCAAAGAGGCCGAUAGAGGAGAAAUAUGCGCCUCUGACCAUCAAUCGUCAGGUUUCUCGUAUAGCGCCGAUCGACCGUUAAUAAUUUAUUAUGACGCGAAGAAGGAGCCGGUGUGUAAUAGCCCGAUUUUAGGCUUAGUCGGAACAGUGGUUUCGGGACCACAAAUCCGACGAAAAAAAAAAUGUAAUGGCUUGAAUUUUUAGAGGUGUCGGAACGGUGAUUCGAGAUCACUAAAUUCGACAAAUGGGUAGAAAAUAUUAUUAAUUUAGUAAGUAUAAGUUAAAUAUGAAGUUAGGAAAAUUUUUGAAAUAGUGAAUAGUGCACUAGAAAUAAAUAUUAAAAUAAUUAGAAUCGAAAUGAGGUAUCAAGACCUCGGGGAUUUUAAACUGAGCCAUAAAUAUUUUUAUAAAUAUUUAUGGAGUGUUAAAAAGUUAGUAUUAAAGUUUCGUUAAGAAAUUUUAAAGUUCCGAUAAUUAAUUGAACAAAAAGGACUAAAUUGUAACAAAUGCAAAAUUUUGGGAAAUGAUUAAAUAGCUUAAAUGAUAAAAGGAAGAGGGCUUAAAAAGCAAAUAGACCCAAGGUCUAUUUGGGCUGGACGGCAGAGGCAUGAAAUCAGCAAGAAAGUAAGGAGAAUUAAGGGCAAAAUUGGAAAAUUGCAAAAUUUGCUUAAUAAAGUUAGGACCCAAGUGGAAUUAUCUAGAUUUCUCUUCAUUUUUCUGAAUUCUCAUCAGCUAAAACACCAUGGAAGGGCUUCUUCAAGCUGGUUCUUCAUAUUUUUAUUACAAGUAAGUUCAAUUCUUGACUAUUUCUUGAAAUUUUUGUAUUUUUAUGACUUUUACAACUAGGCCCACUUGUUAAAUUCAUUAGUUUUUGAUUUUAUGAAAGAAGUUGAAAGUUGAUAUGAAUAUGUGCUGGAAGUAUAUGAUGAUUUAGCAUGAAAUUAGAGCUUUAAAUUGUUAAUAUGCUGAUUUUAUUGAAAGAAUUGAAUAGAAAGUGAAUGUUUGGGACCUAAUAGUAAAAGAGUUUGAAGAUAGAGUUAUAUGUGGAAAUUCUUAAUUUCAAUAGUUGUGUAACAAAUUAUAAUGUCUAGUAAAGUACUAAUUGAGAAAAUUAGAUUAAUUGAGGGGUUAAUUGAGAAAGGACCGAAUUGUAUAAACUGUGAAAUUUGGGGCAAAAUGGAAAUCAACAUUUUGCACUAAAGCAGUUUUGGACAGCAGCAGUAGUGUAACUUUGAAAAAUCACCAAAAAUUGUAGAGAUUGAAUUAGAGGAUGAAUAAAAUAUGAAAUUAAAGCUUAUUGAGUCUAGUUUCUUAUAAAAGAAAUGAUGUGAGCAAUGGAAUUGUAAAUCAUGAGAUAUAAUAGAUUUUGUGAGACAAGGUCAGAAUGAAUUCGGGUUCCCCUGUUCUGAAUUUGGAAAAUCAUUAAAAAUUGUACAGAAAUUAUUAUGAGUUAUAGUUUAUAUGGUUAGAAUCCUUAAUGAGUCUAUUUUUAUAAGAAACAAGCUAAAACAUCAUCUGAAUUCUGUACAAUGAGAUAAUUAAUUUUUAGUGAAGAGUGGUCGGAACUGUCAGACAGCGAAACAGGGGAAACUUUAAAGAAUAAACCGUACUAUUUGGCUGAACCAAAAAUUAUGAAAAUUUUAUGGUAUGAAGAUAUGUGAGUCUAGUUUCAGGGAAAAUUAACGUAUCUUAAUUUGGAGCUCUGUAUCUCCGGAUAAAAAUAAUUUAGUGACUCUGACUCGGAUAAACAGCUUUGAAUAUACAUGUUAGUGAAUAUUGAAAUUAUGGUUAAUGUUGUUUAAGUGUGUUAUACACAUUAAGGAUGUGGAAUGGAGAGGAGGAGGAGGAAAAUUGGGAAAUAUAUGAAUGAUUCGUGUAUAAAUGGUCAUAUGUUUGAUUAUAACUCAUAAACGAUGAAAUAUGAAUGAUGCUUAUUUUUGUGCAUUAUUGGUCAUGGUUUAAGCUCAUGUGUGAAAAUAAAGUUUCAUAGUAUGUGUGUAUGGUAUAUUCAGUAUAUGAUUUGGCAUGAAAUAAUACCAUGAAUGGUUUAUGAAUUAACACAUGUUGGUAAGCAUGAUAUAUGAAUAAAUGAUCAAAUUGAGCGGAACGCCGGAUUUGAGUACUUCUGAUCAAGUGAUAAAGUGAUAAGUGGUAGCUUUAGCUACACUUAUCUGAUCAAGUGACAAGUGGAAAGUGAUAAGUAAUAGCUUCGGCUAUACUUAUCUGAUCAAGUGAUAAAGUGAUAAGUGAUAGCUUCGGCUAUACUUAUCUGAUCAAGUGACAAAGUGAUAAGUGAUAGCUUCAGCUACACUUAUCUGAUCAAGUGACAAGUGGAAAGUGAUAAGUGAUAGCUUCGGCUACACUUAUCUGAUCAAGUUACAAGUGAAAAGUGAUAAGUGAUAGCUUCGGCUAUACUUAUCUGAUCAAGAGACAAAGUGAUAAGUGAUAGCUUUAGCUACACUUAUCUGAUCAAGAGACAAAGUGAUAAGUGGCUACACUUAUCUGAUCAAGAAACAAAGUGAUAAGUGGCUACACUUAUGUGAUCAAGAAACAAAGUGAUAGGUGGCUACACUUAUCUGAUCAGGGACAAGUGAUAAGUGAUCAUACAUAAGACCAUAGUUAUACUAUGGCAAAGUGAAAGUGAAGUACUCAAUUUUUCCGUGACCGUUCCCUAAUUUGAUUAAAGAUGGUAAGUGACAAAUGGGCCCAAAAGAAUUAAAGUAAAUGGAUAAGUGGUAGUGUAUUUAUAUCAGGACGAUGUUGUUAUUCAAACUAAAGUGAUAUUUUCAUUGCUAAAUUGAGAAUUUCAUAAAUGUGUUAUUGAAUGGUAUAAUCAAUAAACAUUGAGUUAAAUGGUAAAUACGUAUUAGUUUUGAAUUUGAUGUCAUUGAAUUGUACGUGAAUUAAAUGGAAAUUUCUAGUGAUAUGAUUUAAAUUAUGAGCAUGAGAAAUUGCGAAUUGAAUGAAAUGGAAAUGAAGCAUUAAAUUGCAUGAGUAUGUAUCGGGUCUCGCAGGCCCUAAUUAUUAUGAUUAUAAUAUUUUAAGGAUAUAUUGUGAAAAGUUAUAGAAACAUGUUAAUUAUUUUUGAAAGUUUUAAUUUUGAUGAAAUUUUAUAACUCGGUUAAAUACGUUUACAAGUGUAUGUGUUUUGGUAAUGCCUCGUACCCUAUUCCGGUGUUGGAUACGGGUAAGGGGUGUUACACGGUGAACCAAAAGUGAUAAUCGAGGUACCAUCUCUUUUCCCCUACAAGGACAAUAAAGCAGUACCAUGGAAAUACGACAUCAAUAUCGUCACACCUGAAGAUGAAAAACCCAAAGCCAUGACUGGAAGCGUUGGGGAAGUAGGUCAUUUCACUCGUAGUGGAAGAUGUUAUUCGAAAGAGGUCAAACCAGUGAAGAAGAACAGUGACUUGAAACAAAAAGGAAAAACACCGAUGCACGUGACCGAAGAUGAGCAUGAAACUGUGCCUAAACAAGAAGCUAAAAAGCCUAUGGACGAGGAGGAAGCACAGGAAUUCUUAAAAUUUAUCAAGCACAGUGAGUACAACAUGGUAGAACAAUUGAGUAAGCAGCCAGCACGAAUCUCGGUAUUAUCUCUGGUGAUAAAUUUAGAACCGCACCGGAACGCCUUAUUAAAGGUGUUGAAUCAAGCUUAUGUGGCAAACAAUAUAUCUGUUGAAAAGUUGGACAGGUGGGUGAAAAACUUGAACGCAAAUAAUUUCAUUUCUUUUAGUGAUGAUGAAAUACCACCCAAUGGUAGAAGCUCCGUGAAAGCAUUGCAUAUCACAACCCGCUGUAAGGGCUAUAUAAUACCGAACGUGCUCAUCGAUAAUGGAUCGACACUCAACGUUAUUCCUUUGGCCACACUUUCCAGGAUUUCAAUGGAUUUGUCCUAUCUAAGGCCUUACCAUUCUACAGUAAGGGCAUUCGAUGGAACAAGAUGAGAAGUCAUAGGAAAAAUCGAGAUCCCUCUAGAAGUGGGUCCCUACAUAUACGAUGUUGAAUUUCAAGUCAUGGACAUUACACCAUCAUACAAUUGUCUCUUGGGAAGACCUUGGAUCUAUUCUGCUGGAGCAGUCCCAUCAUCCUUCCAUCAAAAGGUGAAAUUUAUCAUUGAUGGCUAUUUGGUCACUGUCGAGGGAGAAGAAGACAUUGUAGCUUCUAUUUCUGCCGAUGCACCAUACAUUGAAGUGAGUAAAGAUGCUAUGGAAUGUUCCUUUCGAUCUCUUGAAUUUGUCAAUGCCACAUUCGUCGCUGAGGGAAACAGAAUUCUCGAGCCAAAACUGUCGAGAAAUACCAGGAUGGGUGUCAAGUUGACUGUAGGAAAGGGAGCCCGAGCAAGGAAAGGUUUGGAAAGGUACCUGCAAGGUAUAGUUAGGGCUCUAAAGCCAGUACACCACAGGGCCCAAUACGGUUUGGGGUUCCAGCCGGACAUGCGUCAAAGAAGAAAACAAUGGAAGAAAGAUCAGGAAAGAAGGAUCUCAAGAACCUUAAGCCGAGAAUUAGAAUGGGAGCCAAUAACGUACCCUCCUUUGUCAAAAACAUUUACAUCUGCAGAUAUGAUUUACCCCGGACAGGAUAAUACAUAAAGCACGCUGUUAUUAAUUGAAAGGGGGCUUCAGAAUACUAGUAUAAAUGUCAUUGACAAAGGAAAUGAGGCAAGUAAAGACGUUUCAACGAUACGCCAUUGUCCUCCUGGUUUCAUGUUGAACAAUUAGACUGUCGAGGACCUUCUUGUAGUUUAUAAGUCUUCAGAGUAAUGCUCAAACAAUAACCCUCUAUUGUGUCCUUAGAUAUAAUAGAAUUCUUUUGUAAGAGCUUGCAUUCGCUCUUUAUCAUUUAAAUGAAUAUCAAUGAAGAUGCAUUUUGUCACGACCUUUCGUGUUAUCACUAAUUUCAUAAUCAUUUUCUCAUUUCAUAGCCUAUCUGUACAUUUGCCUCAUGCCAUGCCAUAGCAUUUCAUUUGUUGGUUCCAAUACUUGGAUACCCCUCUAUAGUUUCCUCUUCCAUUCAACUUUCAGGUGCUCAGAUAUCAAUGGCAUGAACAAACCCGUUACGAGUCCUGAAAUCAAUUUUGAGAAGGCUAUUUGUUUAGGAGAAUUCGAAGCCGAAGAAAAUUCUGAAGACUAUGUCUCGUUUCAUGACUUGCUAAGAAUGGUGGAACAAGAGGAUAAACAGAUUUUGCCUCAUCAAGAAUCUGUUGAAACAAUAAAUUUGGGAACUGAAGAAAGGAAGCAAGAUGUGAAGAUUGGGACCUCCAUUUCAGGGGGUACAGGCAUAAUUUGAUUGCUUUGCUCCUCGAGUACAAAGAUGUAUUUACAUGGUCAUAUCAAGACAUGCCAGGAUUGGAUGAAGAUGUAGUGGUUCAUAAGCUCCCAUUAAAGCCAGAAUGCAAACUUAUUCAACAAAAGCUAAGACGAAUGAGACCUGAGAUGUUGUUGAAAAUAAAAGAGGAAGUCAAGAAGCAAUUUGAUGAUGGCUUCCUACAAGCCUCCAAAUAUCCAGAGUGGAUGACCAACGUAGUCCCGGUACCAAAGAAAGACGGCAAAGUACGAAUAUGCGUGGAUUAUCGUGACCUGAAUCGAGCAAGUCCUAAAGAUAAUUUCCCUUGCCACACAUUGAUACGUUGGUGGAUAACACAAUAAAGUAUUCAUUGUUUUCUUUCAUAGAUGGAUUAUCGAGGUAUAAUCAGAUCAAGAUGGCCCCCGAGGAUAUGGAGAAAACUACUUUCAUAACAAUGUGGGGAACAUUCUGCUACAAGGUAAUGCCGUUCGGAUUAAAGAAUGCUGGGGCAACAUAUUAGAGGGCUAUGGUGACAUUAUUCUAUGACAUGAUGCAUAAAGAAAUAGAGGUCUAUGUCGACGAUAUGAUUGCUAAAUCCCGAGGGGAAGAAGAGCAUGUAGUGAACCUGAAGAAGUUGUUCGACAGACUGAGAAAGUUCCAGCUAAAGCUUAAUCCGGCCAAAUGUAUGUUUGGGGCUACCUCAGGAAAAUGCUUGGCUUCAUUGUCAGAGAGAGAGGCAUUGAAGUUGAUCCAGAUAAAAUAAAAGCCAUUCAAGAGUUACCACCUCCGAGCACUCAAAAAGAGGUCAGAGGAUUUUUAGGGAGGUUGAACUACAUCGCUCGGUUCAUUGCUCAACUGACCAACCAGUGCGACCCAAUUUUUCGACUCCUCCGAAAACAUAAUCCUAGAGAAUGGAACGGGGAAUGCCAAGAGGCUUUUGACAAGAUAAAGCAGUAUUUUUCUAAUCCCCCGGUACUAGUACCGCCAAUUCCAGGCAGACCAUUAAUUUUGUAUUUGACAGUGUUCGAAAAUUCAAUGGGUUUCGUACUGGGGCAACAUGACGAGUCAGGAAAGAAAGAAAGGGCGAUCUACUACCUCAGCAAAAAGUUCACUGAAUAUGAGGCAAAGUAUUCGUCCAUAGAAAAAUACUAUUGCGCUCUGGUUUGGGUAGCUCGGAGACUCAGGCAAUAUAUGUUGUAUCAUACGACAUGGUUAAUUUAAAGCUAAAUCCAAUAAAGUACAUGAUGGAAUCACCUGCACUCUUAGGAAGAAUGGCACGAUGGCAGAUCUUACUGUCAGAAUAUGACAUCGUCUAUGUGAGCCAAAAGUCGAUAAAAGGAAGUGCAAUAGCUGACUUCUUGGCAACUCGAACAAUGGAGGAUUACGAGAAAUUGAGAUUUGAUUUCCCAGAUGAAGACUUGAUGUGCAUCACGAAAAAAGAAUGCGAGUCACCAAAAGAGAAGUCAUGGAAGAUGAGCUUUGAUGGUGCAUCGAAUGUAUUGGGGCACGGGAUUGGAGCAAUCUUAGUAUCACCAGAAGGGAACCAUUAUCCGUUCACUGCCAGGCUAAAUUUCUUCUGUACCAAUUGUACAUACCCAAUUUUGCCAAACCCAAAUACAUUUCAAACCCUUACUAACCCAAGCCUGUUUACAAUAUUUUCAGCCCAAUUAGCCUAACCCAAGUACUACUAGCCCAAUACCCUAAAUUAACCUAGCCCAACAGCCUAAAACAAAUCAGCAGAGAGGAAACCCUAAUUCCACUUGCCUCCCUACUUGCGCCGCACGCCCUUCUGCCCUUGGCUACCACGCCCCACUUUCCUCUAACACUAGCACCAUCCUUGGUAACUCCCAUACCGUCUGCCACCGCAUGCUCCACUUCCCUGACACCUCGAGACCCUGCAAAGACAGAAGCAGACCAAACAGAAUAGGACAAAAAUAUAAAUAAUAUUUUCCUAGUUUUGUAGUCGGCUAUAAAACCGAAAAAUAAACAUUUGUAAAAAGGGGGGAAUUCGAAAAAAGAGAAGCAAAUCUAACCACUUCGUAAUAACAAUAUCAGCAAUAGAUUCAAACAACAAAUUGUAUACAUCGAAUACAAAAAGCAGAGGAAAAUACAAAAAAGGGAAACAAGGAACGAAAAGAUAAAUCGGAAGGUGAUUUUGUUUCUUAUUUUUUCUUUAUUAUCUUCUUAAAUCCAUUUUUUCUCUUUUCUUCUUUUCUUCCUCAUUUCUAGCAUAUAUAUACACAUUUAUUCGAAAAAAAACAAAAAAAAAACAAAAAAAGUAAAUUUUUACGCGGUGGCCGGUGCCGGCGCCGGCGGACCUCCAGCGGCUGUCCGGUGACCGGCCCGUAGCCGGAGCUCCCUCCUCUCCCCUCUCUUCUUUCUUCCCUCUCCCUUUCUCUCUUUUUUUUUCUCUUCACGGUACAAAAUGAAUUUUUUUAAAAUUUUUUUUGACUUAUAUAGGGGUCCAAAACGCACCGUUUUGGACCCCCUCUGUUUAGACUAAAAACGACGCCGUUUUGGACACGGGUCUGGUCGACCCGACCCGCACCAGGUCAGAUCCGCGUGUUUUUUAAUUCAAUGGUAUAUUUGCGCAUUAGAUCCUUCCGCAUUUUCAGUGUUUUAAAUCAGGUUUAUUUUUGUUUAUAAUCUGGCCCUAAAAUUCAAUCUGACUUGCAAUCUACUCCCUGUUGAUGCGCUGCGUUUCGAUAGAACGGGAAUAUUACUAAUUCGUCCCCCAUGUUUCGCGCGUGUUGCAAUACGACCCCGUGGCUUAUUUUUAUUUUAGAUUUGGCCCCAAAACUUCGAUUUUAAUCCAAUUUUGGUCCUUUUUUCGUUUAUCUUUAAUUCUUAUUUAAAUUUUCUUGUAUUUUCAUAUUAUUAUUAUUAUUAUAUAUUUUUAUUAUAUGCACAUACAUAUAUGUAUUUAUGUUUAGUAUUUUAGCUACUUUAUUUUAAUAUUUAAAUGUUAUGCUUGCUUUUAUUAUUUUAAUAAUAUAUUAUUAUUAUCUUUAUUACAAUAGUGUAUAUUUUUAUUUGUGUGUAUAGAUUUAUAUAUAUAGUAUUUUUGUGUUACAUUGUUGUUCUUCGUAUUUUAAUGCCAUUACUAUUAUGGUUGUUAAUGUAGUGAUUGUGUUGUUGUAUGUAUACAUCUUUAUAUCGUCAUUGUUAUUAUCAUUAACCAUAGUAUAUAUUUUGUUAUAUAUGUACAUAUCUAUUUGUGCAUAGCAUUACUUUUUAAUUGCUUUAUUCUAAUAUUUCUAUAUCGAUUAUAUGUAUAUACAUUUAAUAUGCCUAUGUACUUAUCCAUGUAUUAUUAGCUGUUUGUUCCCUAUAUGUAUGCAUUAUGUAAAUAUUUUAAUAUUAUUUAACAUAUGUAUUUUCAUUUUAUAUGUUUUACAUACGUUUUUUAAUAUAUUAUACUUUAUAUAUUGUUAUGUAUAUUUUUAGUAUAUACAUAUAUUUGUGAAAUAUUAUCAACAGUUUUAUUAUUAUUUUUAAAUAAGUAUAUAUAUCGUGCACAUAUUUUAAUACUACAUUCUACAAAUUUUUGUAUUAUGUAGUUAUUCCAACAUUAUAUACUUAGUAUUUCUAAUAUCCUUAUCAUUUAUAUCUAUGAAUGUAUAUGUCUAUGUAGUAUAUUAGUAAGUCCAUUUUUAUAUUGUUGUUAUUUCUAAUAUAUAUGCAUAUAUCAUCUAUGUGUUAUAUAUAUUAUAUAUUUUCAAUAUUUUUGCAUUAUUGCCCUAUAUGUUAUUUACUUCAGCAUAUUUUUAAUUUUUCCAUUUAUUUAUUUUUAUUUCAUCUCAAUUUUGUUUUACAUUACUUCAAGAAUUUUAUCCAUGUCCUUCUAAUUAAUUUCAACAAUCAAGGCAAUAUACCGAUUUAACAUUAAGUCAUCGAGUUCAUCGCUAUGUUGGGUGAACGUCAAUUGACUCGUGUUAAAGCGAUAUACCCUUCUCAAAAACCGGAAUGAACUAAAAUUUCUCGUCUUCUUUUAAUUGGAUCACGACUAAAUUUUAAUAUUGAACUCGUAUUUUUAAAAAUCAAGACAACACGUGUUUAUGAGAUACCAAUUUCUGGGCGUCGCGAGGGUGCUAAUACCUUCCUCGCGCGUAACCGACUCCCGAGCCCUAAUUUUUCUCUGGUUUUUAACCUAGACCCUAAACUCAGCCUUCUUUUUGUUAAAAAAAAGAAAUCUAAUAGGUAUCCGAUCGUACCUAGGAAAAAGGAUCGGUGGCGACUCCCGGUUUAUUUUAAAAUCAAAUUUUAGCUUUCAAGUUUUCAAUAGAUCGCCUCAAUUAGCGACCGAAACCAAAUAAAUUUUUACAUCGCUACACCAAUAACAUAGCGGAAUAUGAGGCCUGUAUCAUGGGACUUCGUGCAGCAAUUGAACGAAACAUCCAAACUUUAGAGGUAUACGGAGACUCAGCAUUGGUGAUUUAUUAGAUUCGUGGAGAUUGGGAAGUGAGGGAUUCAAAAGUAGUCAAAUAUAGUGAUCUCGUGGCAGGGUUGAUUAAAGAAUUCAAAGAAAUAACUUUUAAUUACUUCCCACGAGAAGAAAACCAGUUAUCUGAUGCCCUGGCCACUUUGGCUUCAAUGUUUAAAGAAAACAGAGAAACAGAAAUAAUGCCUCUUCAAAUGGGCAUAUAUGAAGUCCCUGCACAUUGUUUCAGCAUUGAAAAAGAGCCAGAUGGACGGUCAUGGUUUCAUGAUAUCUUAGAAUACAUCAAGAAUCAAAGGUAUCCCGAGCAAGCAAAUGAGAACGACAAAAGAACAAUCAGAAGAAUGGCAACGGGAUUUGUUCUUGAUGGGGAUAUCCUGUAUAAAAGAGGAAAAGAUCAAGUGCUCUUGAGAUGCGUGGAUACUGUUGAAGCUAGGAAAAUACUUGAAGAUGUCCAUGAAGGAAUUUGUGGGACACAUGCCAAUGGUUUCACUAUGGCCAGGAAGAUUAUGAGACUCGGUUAUUACUGGCUGACGAUGGAAAGCGACUGCAUUAGUUUUGCAAGAAAAUUCCACAAAUGCCAAAUUUACGGCGAUAAAAUCCAUGUAGCCCCUUCGCCCCUUCAUGUCAUGACUUCUCCAUGGCCUUUUUCUAUGUGGGGCAUGGAUGUUAUAAGGCCAAUUUCCCCAAAAGCUUCUAAUGGACACCGGUUUAUCUUUGUGGUUAUUGAUUACUUCACAAAAUGGAUAGAAUCCGCUUCGUUUGCUAAUGUGACAAAGACUGCAGUUUGUAGGUUUUUGAAAAAAGAAAUCAUUUGUCGAUAUGGUUUGCUUGAAAGAAUCAUUUCAGAUAACGCCAUGAAUCUGAACAACAAGAUGAUGAAGGAAGUGUGUGAACAGUUUCAAAUAAAGCAUCAUAGCUUAUCACCCUAUCGCCCGAAAAUGAACGGAGCUGUUGAAGCGGCCAACAAGAAUAUUAAAAGGAUUAUUGGAAAAAUGACCGAGACAUAUAAAGAUUGGCACGAGAAGCUACCAUUUGCUUUGUACGCAUAUCGCAAAUCUGUGCGGACAUCUACGGGAGCAACUCCUUUCUCUCUGGUCUAUGGGAUGGAAGCUAUGCUACCUAUCGAGGUUGAGAUCCCCUCUUUACGAGUCUUAAUGGAAUCGAAACUAGAAGAAGCAGAAUGGGUUUGAGCUCGAUAUAACCAGUUAAAUCUUAUCGAAGAAAAACAUUUAAAGGCAAUUUGUCACAGACAGAUGUACCAGAAGAGAAUGAUCGCAGCCCAUGACAAGAAAGUACGGCCAAGAGAAUUCCACGAAGGAGAACUUGUGUUGAGAAAGAUUCUCCUAAUACAAAAAGACUUCCGAGGAAAAUGGGCACCAAAUUGGAAAGGACCAUACGUCGUAAAGAAAGCAUUCUCGGGUGGAGCUUUGAUUCUCACCGAGAUGGAUGGGAAGGAGUUACCGAAUUCAGUGAACUCAGACGCUGUGAAGAAAUAUUAUGCUUGAAAAAUGGAAAUCAAGAUGAAAACUUUAAAGGGCAUCUUAAAAAAAAAGGAUCAAGGUGAAAACCCGAAAAGGGCGUCUUGAUUAACACAAAAGAUUAGGAUGAAAACCCGAAAGGGCAUUCUAAUGAAGCAAACCCGAGCUUAAAGAAUAAGGCGGUCGAAUAGUAGGUCAAAUAGCAAGACUAUAGUGUUUGAAGCAUUUUUUGAAAGCUCGAAAUUUUCCACACGAGAAGCUAUACUCGAAAAGAUUCCUGAUUGAGGAACGUGAAAGAGUUCAUGCGUUGAAUAUCUGGAGCAUUCGUAUUCGUUGAAUGCGACCCCUCUUCUCUUUAUAACACUUGUUACUAUUAAUUUUCUUUGUUUGCUACAUUUGAAAUAAAUAAAUGUGAGGUAGCCUUUUUGCCCCUACCUAACUAUUUUCAUGCAUCUCAUUAUUUGUUUAUUUACAUGAUAAAUAGUGAAAUGACAUGCUCUAAACAAAAGAAAUGUUAAGCAUUACCCGGAUAAGAAUUUGAUUAGUACAAGAGCCUCAAAGUAAGGACAGAGUUCAACCAGGGACAAAAGGGUGAUAUUUGAGAAAUGUUGAUUACUCAUGGAGCUUGGAGACGGGUACGAGGCUUGAAGAGAAAGUCAGAAGUCAAAGCAAUGAACGCAGAUCAUGAAAACUCGUGGUGAAAAAGGACAUACGACAAACAUGCCUAAGGCGCAUAGCAUAAUCAUGUAGGCAUAAAGGCAUUUAAGACACAUGCGCAUAUCAUAAUAACAUCAUGCAUGACAUAUACAGGUACUUAAGUAGAGCAAAAGGAUGUGAUGAUAGUUGUACUGAAUCAAAGGAAAAGACACUUGAGUUCUACCAAAUGACAGGUUUUGGUAUUUUGAUGUUUUAUUUCUCUUCUCAGAAAUCAACUCAUAUUGCGAGAGGUGAGUUGAGCCUCAGGACACGCUGAGGUAAUUUUAAUUUCUGUCUUUAAUUUCUACUUUUCCAAAUCAACUCAUAUUACGAGAGGUGAGUUGAGCCUCAGUUCACACGCUGAGGUAAUUUCAAUUUCUGUCUUUAAUUUCUACUUUUCCAAAUUAACUCAUAUUGCGAGAGAUGAGUUGAGCCUCGGUUCACACGCUGAGGUAAUUUCAAUUUCUGUCUUUAAUUUCUAGUUUUCCAAAUCAACUCAUAUUGCAAGAAGUGAGUUGAGCCUUGGGCCACAUGCCGACGUAUUUUCAAAUUCUAUUUUUAAUUUCUACUUUUCAAAAAUCAACUCAUAUUGCGAGAAGUGAGUUAAGCCUCAGGACGCUGAGGUAUUUCCAAUUUCUGUUUUUAAUUUUUUUUUCAAAAAUCAACUCAUAUUGCGAGAGGUGAGUUGAGUCUUUUAAUUUUUGUUUUUUCAAAAUCUACAUUUCAAAUUAAGUUUCAAAAAAGACCAACUCAUAUUGCGAGAGGUGAGUUGAGCAUUGGCUUACGUGCUGAGCUAUUUUCAAGUUCUGUUUUAAUGUCUGUUUUUAAAGAAUCAAUUCAUAUUGCGAGAAAUGAGUUGAGCUCAAGAUCACAUGCCGAGUAAAGAAUAAAGAUUGGAGCUGACGGAAGACACUAGAUUUGGCCUCCCUGAAGUGGCAGUAAAGUAGGUCAAAGUUGCAAGUCUUGUCUCCCUGAAGUUGCAGUGGAGCUGAUCGAGGAUAUCAAAUGUUGCAUUUCUAAAGUUAUAGAAGAAAAGACCACAAACCCUAUCUCAGUGAAACGAUAGAAGAGUAAAUUGAAGCCGUAGAUCUUAUCUUUCUAAAAUUACAAGUGAAUCAGAUCGAAACCACAAAUCUCAUAUCCUUGAAGCUACAUUGGAAAAGAUCGAAGCUACAAGGCGUAUAUCAAAAGAUGCAGUGGAUUGAAUACAAAGCUACAAGAUGCGGUGGACUAAAAUGAGGUUACCUGGAGAAAAGAAGGGCACCAAAGAAGUCAAGACUCGGCAAAACCAGGCAAAAUUGGCUUUUCUCUAUGCCUUUGCUCUAUUCUCGUUACACGACAAUGAGCAAAGAGGGGCAGCUGUUACAAGCCAAUUUUUAACCCAAAUACCCCUAAACCCAUUUACAAUUUAAACCAAAAAAUUACCAGACCCAAUACAACUUAGCCCAACUAAAGCCUUAACCAUCUAACUACCCAUACAGCCCAAUACAAAACAACCCAAUUACAAUUAAACCCAAACUCAUAAAACACUAGCCCAAACCCGAAUGGCCCACUAAACCUAACCCUAAUCAGCUCCCACUUGUUUCUGCCCCCAACAACCCCUGAGCACCCCAGCGCCGCAAUGUCCCAUCGCCCAUGCUUCUGCCACCACCUGCUCCACCUUCGCCAACCACCACCUACACAUCAAACACGCAACAAUAGUAAGACAAUGUAACAAAACAGGCUAUAAAAGCCGAAUAGAAAACUGAAAAUAGGGUUCUUUUUCCCUUUCUUUUUUCUUUGUAAACAUCAACUAAAAAGAGAGUUUAAGAUUUCAAUAAACAUACAUAGGUCGUAUUUCAAACAAACAAAAGGGAUCUGGGAAUCAAAUCAGAUCAGAGGCAAAAGGUGACUCCUUUCUACGAGUAUUUUUCAUUCAAGCAUAUAUAUAUGGACCGGUGACCGGCACCCCGCCGGAAUCCCUCCCCUCUCCCUUCUCUCUCUUUUUCUCUUUCUUUUUUUUUCCUUUCCCCUCACAAAUGAUUUUUUUUCCUGAAAUUAGGCCUAUUUAUAGCCCCCCAAAACGGCGUCGUUUUGGAGGAUAUACUUAAGCCCCAAAACGACGUCGUUUUGGCCUUACCCGAUCCAACUCGACCCGUCCGGUCUAGGGUCUGCGUGUUUUUGAACAGAAGGGCUAAUUGCGCAUUUAGCCCUUCCGCCUUUUUUUAAUUUACAAUCAAGUUUUAAUUUACUUUAAUUUAGACCUAAAAGUUGUUGCGUAAUUCGAUUUAGUCCCUUUACUGUUGUGCGUUUUAAAAUAAUUCAGAAAAUUGCAUUUUUAGCCCCCUUAGUGUUGUCCGUGUUCAAAUAAGUCCCUCUCUUUGUUUUUAUUUUUAAAAUUACCCCAAAACUUUGUUUUUGUUUUAAAUUUAGUACUUUCUUCAUAUUUGAAUUUAUUUUCGUAUUGUCUUUAUUUUCUUUUUAUAUAUUAUUACUGUUAUUUUUAUAUUUAUUACUAAUAUAUAUUUAUUAUAGUUACUACUAUAUAUAUAUAUUACGUAUAUAUUAUUUAUAAUGUAUCUAUGUAAUAUAAUUACUAAGUUUUUUUAAACAUUAAAAGUAUUUAUAUUUGUAUAUUAUGUAAGUGUUCUAAUACUAUAUCAUAUAUACACAUGCAUUUUUCAUAUUAAUAUAUAUAUAUGUUUUUAAUAUUAUAUUAUUAUGUAUAUGUUUUAAUAUUAUUAGCUAUAUCUUUCAUACUAUUUUAUGUACAUUUCUAAUACCAUCAUAUAUUAUAACAUCAUUAUUAUUUAUAUAUAUGUACGUAUUUAUAUAGCGUAUGAAUAGUUUUUUUUAUUAUCAUUUCUAAUAUAAAUAUAUUUAUCAUAUAGGUUUAUAUACAUAUCAUACAUGUUUCUUUAUUUUUAUUUUUAUUAGUUAUAUAUAUUAUUACUAUUUUAUGUAUAUAUAUAUUUUUUAUCUUUAUUACUAUUGUUGUUAAUCUUAGUCUAUGUUUUACAUAUGUAUGUAUAUAUCUCUAGUAUAUAUAGGUAUAUAUCCAUGUAGUAUUGUAAUAGGUUUUUUUAUUAUUUCCAAUAUGUAUAUAUUAUGUAAAUAUUUUGAUGUUAUAUUAUAUAUGCAUUUUUUUAUAUAUUAUGUAUGUAUAUAUAUAUUUUCAAUAUUAUUAGUUUUUUUAUAUAUACUAUUCUAUGUACAUAUUUCCAUAUCACCUUAUAUAUAUAUUCCUAGAUACUAUUACAUGUAUAUGCAUGUUUUUAUUACCAUAUUGUGUAUAUUAUUAUUACAUUUAUUUUAUUCCUACUAUAUUUAUUAUUAAUAUUAGUACAUAUAUUCUAUAGUUUUUGUAUACAUUUUUUAUAUAUAGUGUUAUUUUCAUAUAUCCUUAUAGUUAUUGUAACGCCCCAAUUUUCGGGAAUUCUGUGAAUGUUGACAAAAUUUCAUGCUUUGAUUUUGUCAUUUGUGAGUGAAAUUAUGAAAUAGGACCUAUGUGAAAAUGUUUGAAAAUGCUAUAGGCUAAAUUGAAGUGGCCAAAUAAAUAGGAGUGCAAAAUAGGAGGAUUUGCAUGACAAACCUCCCAUUUUACAUGAAGUGGCCAGCCAUCAUGUUGUUGUAGACAAAAUGUCCACUUGAUAUCCAUAAUUUAUGGUACAAAUUGAUACAAAUUGAUAAUAGGUUAGGUAAAUGUUCCAUGAUAAUAGGUUAGGUAAAUGUUCCAUGAUAAUGGGUUAGUUAAAUGUUUCAUGAUAAUGGGUUAGGUAAAUGUUUCAUGAUAAGAAUUUCAUGUCUUUUGUAUUAAAGAAUUAAAUGGAUGAAAUAUGAAGUUUUAUUAAAAGAAAAAGGGGUGAAAAGAACAAAGUUUUGUCCAUCUUUGUUCAUCAUAGCUGAAAGUCAGAGAAGAGAAAUGAGAGGAGAAAGCUCUUGAGUAUUCGGUCAUUAGGAGGAGGAAAAUUGAAGGUAAGUUCUUGGUACCUUGCUUCUAUUUUAAGGUUCAUGAGUUCUUCUUGAUUCUACCUUAACUCUUGAAGUAUAUUUUGAUUUUUAGUUGUGUUUUGAGCAUUUAGUCAUGAAUUAAAAUGAAGGAAAUGGUUGUUGUUUCAUGUUCUUUUGAUGAAAAAAAUGGAAGAUAGGUGAAGUUGAGCCAAACAAAUGAGCAUGCAUGUGCCUUAGAUGUUAAAGGGAAAAAUCAGCUAACAUGUUGUGCUUUAAAAUGAUGAAAUGGAGAUUAUUCUUAAGUAAAAUCAUAGAUAUGUGAUGAUUGAUUGGUGAUAUACAUGUUUAAAUAACAUGCAUGCAAGGUAUGUGUGAAAGAGUGAUUUGGUAAUAAAUCUGCUUGGGACAGAAGCAGUAAUGUGACUUUGGAAAAUCACCAUAAAUUAUGGAAGAUGAAUUAGAAGCUGAAUAAAUUAUGUAAUUAAAGCUUAUUGAGUCUAGUUUCUAAUGAAAUAAACAAAAACAUAUUUUGAAUUCUGUACAAUGAGAAAUUUGAUUCGUAAUGAAGAGUGGUCAGAUUACUCAAACAGUGAAACAUGGGAAACUUUGAGAAAAAUCUGGUAUUGAUUUGCUAAACCAAAAAUUCUGAAAAUUUUAUGGAUAGAAGAUAUAUGAGUCUAUUUUCAGGGAAAAUUAACGGAACUUGAUUUGGAGUUUCGUAGCUCCAGUUAUAAAUAAUUUAGUGACUAUUGCUCAGGAAGACAGCUUGCAGUAAAAUUAUAAUUAUGUGGUAAACAUUGACAAAAAUUUGUUAAUGAGUUGCCUAUUGUUUUCUUAUAAGCUUACUAUGAUCUGUAGGUGUGGUUGGCCGAAUAUUGUAAGGGGUUAAUACGUAGUUUGUAUUUGAAUAGUUAGAUUAACGUGUUAGUAAUCCAAUUGUAGGCGGUUCGUGUGUGGAUUUCGUCAGCAUAUCGUCGCAAACAGGUGUGUAACUAACACCCUCUUUCUUAGUCUAGAUCGGCAAAAGUCGAAAAUCUGAAAUGCCGAAAACCGGUAUUUUGUAGAUUUGCGAGUGUGCGAAUGCUCGUGAGGUAAAUCGAUUAAUAUUUUUGGUAAGCUGCAAAAUUUGGACUGCAAAGUGCAUGAUUUCUGUGCCCUCGAUAUUUUUGGGCUUAAUGGGCCAAAAUUGGAAUGAUGGGCCAACGGGCCCAAUUCGGUAAGAACCCUCGGUAGUGAUUCUGUUAGUACGUGAAAGGUAGGAAUAUGCAUGAAAAACCCUAAAAUAGAUAAAUUACUGAAAUACCUUUAAAAGUGGAAAAUUUACAGUUUUACCCCUAGUAGAUAAAUUACCGAAAUACCCCUAGGGUUAAAUUGACCUAAAUGCAUGUUUGACUGUUGUUAUUUACUGCAUGCCAUGUUGUUAUUAUCUGAUGCAUGGGAUUGGGAUAUUGACGGAGGAAGUACUGAAAGUGGCUUGUCCACAUACUGGAGGCUUUGCCUCAAUUUACUGUUAACUGAGCAGCAAGGCUGCAACUGUGGAGUGUUGGGCUGGGUGGGUUGAGCUAUUCCCCACAUAGAGUGUAUGGCUGGUACGGGUGGAGUGUAGUGGUUGGUUGGUUGAGUAGUCUCCCCAAAUGGGCUUGCAUAUGUUAUUGAUGUUGCAUGUAUUUUGAAAUGGGCCUAUGGGCCAUAUUGUUAUCUGAAUAAGGGGCUAAGGCCCAGUUUAUUGUAAUCUGAAAAGGGCUCUGGCCCAGUACCACUGUUACCUGAAUGGGCUUAGGCCCAAUAGGCUUGAGCUAACUUGGGCUUUGAAUGGGUUUUCCUUACACACCGAGUUUCCCCAAACUCACCCCUUUUAUUUUCAUCCACGCAGGAAAUCCCCAACCAUAGUGGGCUUGGAGCUGUGAGGGAAUUCGGAGUGGCCACCCGUUCUGAAAGUUUGAUUUUCUUCUGGUGAACUGGACAUCCUUUUAUUUACGUUUGAAGUUUUGGGUUUUUAAAUGUAAUAAGGCCGCUUAAUUAUUUUUGAUGGUUUUUAAUAUGUAUUACUAAGAUAGGUAAUACUUAUUUUAACUGUUGAAAUUGGAUAGCUUUAGGGCGCGUUUUCAAAAACAACAGUUGAUUUCAAAAUAACACGACAACAAGCAAAGCUUCCGCAAUGAAAGUAUUUUUCAAAAUUAAUCACUUUUCUUAAAAAUGACUUAAUCGAAUCGGUUUCCUAGAAAUAUCCAUAACGUUAAGGUGUGGCAAUGGCGGUAUGCAUGUCUAGGAUUGGAUCCGAAGGGAGCUUGGUACUUAAGCAGUCCGAUGGACUCACCACCUCUUUUCCGGUUUCCUACCUGGUGCACAGCUUCCAUUCACUUUAACCCUUAAUGAAUUAAUCUUUUGAACAUCAAGUACAAUUUUCUGGACUUAGAAUGGAAUUUUUUUUUUACAUUUUUGAUGUGGCAUGCCGGAUCCGGCCAUAACUUCUGGGCCGGGUUUGGGGUGCUACAUUUAGUGGUAUCAGAGCCUAGGUUGCAACAACUCGGCUGUGGAAUGGGUUUACAAAAACAAAGAUUUUUGAAAACGAAAAUUUCAUAAAGAAUGCGAAAAACUCAAUUUUCAAAAUUUAGAUCUUUAGAAGGUGGCAUUCCGAAUCUCCGGCUCAAGUUUGUAAGUAUUACUCUGAACUUCUCUGAAUAUUUUUCUGAAUUAUUUGUCUGUACUAAAAUCCUGCUAGGAUACUCUAGAUAGAAUGAUACUGAAACCAUAGAAAAAUUUGAUAAGAGACUGAAACUGUAGCUAGACUUCGAUUCUGCGAAAACAAACUUUGAACUACUGUCUGAUUCAUAAAACAUCUGUAAUAAACACUGGAAUAUUAAUUAAUGCACAAAAAUUCGUAAUCGGAUAAUACGAUAUAAGUAUAAGAGCAGCUCGUGGAAAAAGCCGUGGACGGGGUCGAGGAAGUGUUCGAGCGAGAUCUUCGUCUUCGGGACAUAUGCCGGCGGUGGAUGCACCGGUACCACCGGCAACAGAGGUAGAGUCUCAUAACUGCGGUGCUGGGGAUGAUGCCCUGUCACAGGCAAUGCUUCGUGUUCUGGAAAGGGUUGCUGGGGCAAGUACGGGCAAUGGAGUUCGGAGAUCUAUUUCUGAACGACUUCGGGCUAACGGAGCGGAGUUCUUUAGGGGCGUGUCUGGUAUAGCCCCGAAUGUGGCGGAAUAUUGGUUGGAGGCCACAGAACGGAUUAUGGACAACUUGGACUGCUCUGAAGAGAUUGUGAGUGGGGUAUCUUUACUAAGUCCUUUGGGUCACUCGGUUAGGGUAGACAAACUGUAUAGGGAUGUACCCUUAGAAACUCAAGGUCGAAUUUUCCCUGGAGAUCUGAUGGAGUUACCGUUCGGAGAGUUUGAUCUCAUUUUGGGAAUGGACUGGCUUGUUAAGCAUAAGGCGACCCUGGAUUGUGCUGCUAAACGAAUGGUGUUAAGGACCACAAAGGAUGAGGAGGUUAUAGUGAUAGGUGAGCGAAGGGAUUAUUUGUCUAAUGUGGUGUUGGCUUUAAGAGCCGAAAAGUGGAUUCAGAAAGGUUGUGAGGCCUAUUUGGCAUUUGUAAGUCAGUCAGAAGAGGUGGGAUUGACAGUGGAUAAGGUUAGGACCGUAAAGGAGUUCCAAGAUGCUUUUCCGGAGGAGCUUCCAGGAUUGCCUUCGAACCGAGAAGUUGAGUUUGGAAUAGAUUUAUUGCCUGGAACGGUGCCCGUGUCCAUCGCACCGUAUAGGAUGGCACUGAAUGAGUUAGUGGAGUUAAAGGCUCAAAUUCAAGAGUUGUUAGAUAGGGGCUUCAUUAGGCCAAGCGUGUCUCCAUGGGGAGCACCGGUGCUAUUCGUGAAAAAGAAGGAUGGUAUGAUGUGGAUGUGCAUCGAUUACCGCCAUUUGAACAAACUGACGAUAAAGAAUAAGUAUCCACUGCCAAGGAUUGAUGAUCUGUUCGACCAGCUUAGAGGAGCUUCUGUAUUUUCCAAGAUCGACCUUCGAUCUGAAUAUCAUCAGUUAAGGGAGAAGGAAAUAUUUGUGAAGUUCAGCAAGUCUGAACUUUGGUUGAGGGAGGUAACCUUCUUAGGACAUGCGGUCUCUAUUGAGGGGAUUAAGGUGGACCCUUGGAAAAUUGAAGCGAUUUUGGAGUGGAAGCCGCCUAGGUCAGUGUCGAAAAUACGGAGUUUCCUAGGAUUGGCAGGAUACUACAGAAGGUUUGUGGAAGGUUUUUCUGUGAUGGCAGCACCUCUGAGAAAACUCAUAAGGAAAGGGGUACCGUUUGUAUGGACUGAGACCCAGCAGGAGGCUUUUGAGAAGUUGAAGAAAGUUCUGACUGAAGCACCUGUAUUAAUUCAGCCGGAGUCUGGGAAGGAUUUUACUGUGUACAGUGACGCAUCACACGUGGGUUUGGGCUGCGUGUUAAUGCAAGAGGGUAAGGUGGUUGCAUAUGCAUCACGAUAGCUUAAGCCUCAUGAGGGAAACUAUUUGACUCAUGAUUUAGAGUUGGCAGUAGUGAUAUUUGCACUUAAGAUUUGGAGACAUUACUUGUACGGAGAAAGGUGUAUUAUAUACACUGACCAUAAGAGUCUUAAGUAUUUGUUGACUCAGAAGGAGCUGAACCUUAGGCAAAGGAGAUGGAUUGAGUUGCUUAAGGAUUAUGACUGUUCGAUCGAGUAUCACCCAAGCAAGGCUAAUGUGGUAGCCGAUGCUCUAAGUCGUAGAGCUGUAUCUGAUCUGAGAGCAAUGUUUGCUCGUCUGAGUCUGUAUGAUGAUGGAAGUCUGUUGGCUGAGUUGCAAGUGAGGCCAACCUGGGUGGAUCAGAUUAAGGAAAAAAAGUUGAAAGAUGAGUCUUUGGUCGCUCGUUUUCAACAAGUUAAGGAAGGGGAAACUUCUGAGUUUGGGAGCCAGAAGAGACGAUGCAACAGCAAUACCCUCAUCUGUUUGGAUUAGGUAAAUUUUGAGGACGAAAUUUCUUUAAGGAGGGUAGAGUUGUAACGCCCCAAUUUUCGGGAAUUCUGUGAAUGUUGACAAAAUUUCAUGCUUUGAUUUUGUCAUUUGUGAGUGAAAUUAUGAAAUAGGACCUAUGUGAAAAUGUUUGAAAAUGCUAUAGGCUAAAUUGAAGUGGCCAAAUAAAUAGGAGUGCAAAAUAGGAGGAUUUGCAUUACAAACCUCUCAUUUUACAUGAAGUGGCCAGCCAUCAUGUUGUUGUAGACUAAAUGUACACUUGAUAUCCAUAAUUUAUGGUACAAAUUGAUACAAAUUGAUAAUAGGUUAGGUAAAUGUUCCAUGAUAAUAGGUUAGGUAAAUGUUCCAUGAUAAUGGGUUAGGUAAAUGUUCCAUGAUAAUGGGUUAGAUAAGAAUUUCAUGUCUUUUGUAUUAAAGAAUUAAAUGGAUGAAAUAUGAAGUUUUAUUAAAAGAAAAAAGGGUGAAAAGAACAAAGUUUUGUCUAUCUUUGUUCAUCAUAGCUGAAAGUUAGAGAAGAGAAAUGAGAGGAGAAAGCUCUUGAGUAUUCGGUCAUUAGGAGAAGGAAAAUUGAAGGUAAGUUCUUGGUACCUUGCUUCUAUUUUGAGGUUCAUGAGUUCUUCUUGAUUCUACCUUAACUCUUGAAGUAUAUUUUAAUUUUUAGUUGUGUUGUGAGCAUUUAGUCAUGAAUUAAAAUAAAGGAAAUGGUUGUUUCAUGUUCUUUUGAUGAAAAAAAUGGAAGAUAGGUGAAGUUGAGCCAAACAAAUGAGCAUGCAUGUGCCUUAGAUGUUAAAGGGAAAAAUCAGCUAACAUGUUGUGCUUUAAAAUGAUGAAAUAGAGAUUAUUCUUAAGUAAAAUCAUAGAUAUGUGAUGAUUAUUGGUGAUAUACAUGUUUAAAUAACAUGCAUGCAAGGUAUGUGUGAAAGAGUGAUUUGGUAAUAAAUCUGCUUGGGACAGCAGCAGUAACGUGACUUUGGAAAAUCACCAUAAAUUGUGGGAGAUGAAUUAGAAGCUGAAUAAAUUAUGUAAUUAAAGCUUAUUGAGUCUAGUUUCUAAUGAAAUAAACAAAAACAUAUUUUGAAUUCUGUACAAUGAGAAAUUUGAUUCGUAAUGAAGAGUGGUCAGAUUACUCAAACAAUGAAACAUGGGAAACUUUGAGAAAAAUCUGGUAUUGAUUUGCUAAACCAAAAAUUCUGAAAAUUUUAUGGAUAGAAGAUAUAUGAGUCUAUUUUCAGGGAAAAUUAACGGAACUUGAUUUGGAGUUUCGUAGCUCCAGUUAUAAAUAAUUUAGUGACUAUUGCUCAGGAAGACAGCUUGCAGUAAAAUUAUAAUUAUGUGGUAAACAUUGACAAAAAUUUGUUAAUGAGUUGCUUAUUGUUUUCUUAUAAGCUUACUAUGAUCUGUAGGUGUGGUUGGCCGAAUAUUGUAAGGGGUUAAUACGUAGUUUGUAUUUGAAUAGUUAGAUUAACGUGUUAGUAAUCCAAUUGUAGGCGGUUCUUGUGUGGAUUUCGUCAGCAUAUCGUCGCAAACAGGUGUGUAACUAACACCCUCUUUCUUAGUCUAGAUCGGCAAAAGUCGAAAAUCUGAAAUGCCGAAAACUGGUAUUUUGUAGAUUUGCGAGUGUGCGAAUGCUCGUGAGGUAAAUCGAUUAAUGUUUUUGGUAAGCUGCAAAAUUUGGACUGCAAAGUGCAUGAUUUCUGUGCCCUCGAUAUUUUUGGGCUUACUGGGCCAAAAUUGGAAUGAUGGGCCAACGGGCCCAAUUCGGUAAGAACCCUCGGUAGUGAUUCUGUUAGUACGUGAAAGGUAGGAAUAUGCAUGAAAAACCCUAAAAUAGAUAAAUUACUGAAAUACCUUUAAAAGUGGAAAAUUUAUAGUUUUACCCCUAGUAGAUAAAUUACCGAAAUACCCCUAGGGUUAAAUUGACCUAAAUGCAUGUUUAACUGUUGUUAUUUACUGCAUGCCAUGUUGUUAUUGUCUGAUACAUGGGAUUGGGAUAUUGGCGGAGGAAGUACUGAAAGUGGCUUGUCCACACACUGGAGGCUUUGCCUCAAUUUACUGUUAACUGAGCAGCAAGGCUGCAACUGUGGAGUGUUGGGCUGGGUGGGUUGAGCUAUUCCCCACAUGGAGUGUAUGGCUGGUACGGGUGGAGUGUAGUGUUUGGUUGGUUGAGUAGUCUCCCCAAAUGGGCUUGCAUAUGUUAUUGAUGUUGCAUGUAUUUUGAAAUGGGCCUAUGGGCCAUAUUGUUAUCUGAAUAAGGGGCUAAGGCCCAGUUUAUUGUAAUCUGAAAAGGGCUCUGGCCCAGUACCACUGUUGCCUGAAUGGGCUUAGGCCCAAUAGGCUUGAGCUAACUUGGGCUUUGAAUGGUUUUCCUUACACAUUGAGUUUCCCCAAACUCACCCCUUUUAUUUUCAUCCACGCAGGAAAUCCCCAACCAUAGUGGGCUUGGAGCUGUGAGGGAAUUCGGAGUGGCCACCCGUUCUGAAAGUUUGAUUUUCUUCUGGUGAACUGGACAUCCUUUUAUUUACGUUUGAAGUUUUGGGUUUUUAAAUGUAAUAAGGCCGCUUAAUUAUUUUUGAUGGUUUUUAAUAUGUAUUACUAAGAUAGGUAAUACUUAUUUUAACUGUUGAAAUUGGAUAGCUUUAGGGCGCGUUUUCAAAAACAACAGUUGAUUUCAAAAUAACACGACAACAAGCAAAGCUUCCGCAAUGAAAGUAUUUUCCAAAAUUAAUCACUUUUCCUAAAAAUGACUUAAUCGAAUCGGUUUCCUAGAAAUAUCCAUGACGUUAAGGUGUGGCAAUGGCGGUAUGCAUGUCUAGGAUUGGAUCCGAAGGGAGCUUGGUACUUAAGCAGUCCGAUGGACUCACCACCUCUUUUCCGGUUUCCUACCUGGUGCACAGCUUCCAUUCACUUUAACCCUUAAUGAAUUAAUCUUUUGAACAUCAAGUACGAUUUUCUGGACUUAGAAUGGAAAUUUUUUUUUACGUUUUUGAUGUGGCAUGCCGGAUCCGGCCAUAACUUCUGGGCCGGGUUUGGGGUGCUACAGUUAUUACUAUACUUAUUAUUUUAUUCUAAUGUUAUUAUGUAUUCAUUUUAAAAUAUAUAUACAUGUAUUUAUAUAGUAUUAUCAAUGUAUAUAAUUUUCUUUAUGUUAUUAGUAUUUAUAAUGUACUUUGUACAUAUUCAUUAUAUAUUAUAUAGGUAUGCAUUAUGCGUGUAUUUUAAUGUUACUAUGUACAUACAUCUUUCAAGAUUUAAAUUUUUUUAUACAUCAUGUAUAUAUUGACUAUAUAAGUAGUAUAUAUAUAUUUUGACUAUUUCAUGUAUAUAUUUCGAAUAUUAUGUAUAGUAUAUUUCUGACACUACUACUAUUCACAUAUAUAUAUUGGCGUGCAUAUUCUUAAUACCGUUAUUAUUAUAUAUAUUCAUUGUUUUCUCGUAUUUGAUACUAUUAUUACGUUUAAUCUCGCAUGCAUUGUUAUUGUUUUUUUUUUCAUUAUUGUCAUAUUCAUUGUUCGCUUCCAUAUAUUUCUGGCUCUUUUAUUUAUUUUUAUUUCACAUCAAUUUGCUUUGCAUUAUUUCGAAAAUCUUAUUCUUGUUUUUAAUAAGUGAGGCAAUGUAUUGAUUUAACAUUAAACCGUAAGUUUCAUCGCUAUGUUGGAUGAAUUUGUCGGCUCAUGUUAAAAUGGUAUAUCCUUCUCAAAAAUCGAAAACUAAAAUUUCAUGUCUUUUCAAUUGGAUCGCAACUAAAUGUUACAUUGAAUUCGUAUUUUUGAAAAUCAAGACGACACAUGUUUAUGAGAUACCAAUUUUGGGCGUCACGAGGGUGCUAAUACCUUCCUCGCGCGUAACCGACUCCCGAACCCUACUUUUUCUCUGCAUUUUAACGUAGACCUAAACUCGGCCUUCUUUUUGUUUUAAAAAUAAAAGAAUCUAAUAGGUGUCCGAUCACACCCUAAAAAAAAAGAUCGGUGGCGACUCCCUGUUUAUUUUAAAAUCAAAUUUCAGUUUUCAAGUUUUCAAUAGAUUGCCACAAUUAGCAACCAAGUAAAACUAAAUUUUUACGUCGCUACAUCCAAAACCCUUUAAUGAACUUGCAUCCAAAAAAAAGAUGUUCCACUUUCUCUGGUUCUCUAUUACACCAAGGACAACUCCUCUCUAAAUUGCUAAAAUGCAAACCUCUUCUACUCAAGAAAUCUUUAGUAGGGAGUCUAACAAUUGAGAUCAUCCAAAGAAAACUUCUCACUCUAGGAGGCACCUUCAACUUCCAAAUCUUAUCAAAAUUAAAACUCAAGUCUUCCACUCCCUCCUCAAUUAAUAAUUCCGAUAAUUUUUUUCACCGAGAACACCCCCUUAUUAUCAUGGACCCAAAUCAAUCAAUCCUCCACAUCCGGCACCAACACCUUCUUGCAAAAAAUUUCCUUUAAUCGAUUAAGCAAAACUAGCUCCCUAUCCAAUAAUGGUCGAACAAAAAAAUCCAACCAAUUAACCUCCUUAAAUCCAUUUAGGAGCGAAUAAUCUUCCACCAAUCCAUACUUAAUUUUUGCUAACCGAAAUAGCCUUGGAAAUUCCACUCUCAAAGGUCGGGUGUGAUAGAUUAACUAUUGUGUAUAUAUAAAUGUAGAUUAAAGUUAUUGGGAGGUCACUGUAUUAUAAGGAUUGAAUCAAAUUAGUCCCUCUAGUAUUAAAUGGAUAAUUUUAGUCCUUAUACUACUAAAAAGAAUCAAAUAAGUCCAAAUUAUAACAGAGUUAAUAUUUACCGUAUAAAAAUGUAUUGAAUUCUUUUUUCAAUUGCAGUUCUAUUCCAAACCAAAAAUUUCAUUUACAGAACCAUAAAAACUUUAAAAAUAUUAACUUUGCUAAACAAUAAAUAAUAUUUUUAAAUAAUAAAUGUUAAAUCUAUUCCAAAUUGAUCUUAUAAUUUGAUUAUUUUAAUACUACAAGGGCUAAAUUGAUCUAUUUAAUAAUAGAAGGACUAAUUUGAUUAGAUACCAAUAAUAGAGGGACCUCUUAGGUACAUUCACCUAUAUAUAUUUUUAUACAUAUAAUGUGAACAGUUUUCUGCCCUAUACGUAAAGUUGCAUGCAUUUCGCAUUUUUAUUUUCGUUUGCUAUAAACCCUAAAUUCAAGUCUUAAAUCCAUUAUUUCCACCUUUUUUCAGGGUUAUCAACUACUCUAUUUGAGCUUCCUUUAAUCUUUCUUUUAUUAAAAAAAAAAGAUUAAUUUUUCAUCGAUCGGUUUCUUCAAUGGCCGCCGCUUCAUCUCUGAGCUCUCUACUGGUUUCUUCCAUGGCACUCACCUCUCCCAUCUUUCAAUCUCAUUGCCUCAAUAACACCACUUGCAAGAGAGGUAUUGAUAUUAUUUGUUUUCGUAAAUUACUCGAAAUUUUUUUUCUUUCAAAUCCUAUAAUUUAGCUUGGUUUCGACAGAAUUGACCUCAAGCAAACCAAGCUAUCGAAAGGUUGAAUUUGAAUAUCUUAAUGUUUGAUUCGAGUAGUUUUAAGGGUACUUUAGUUUGAUAACUUAACAAUCCAGUGAUUUGAGUAAAAAAUUUCGAAUGAUUAUAACUUUUUAAAGUUAAGUGAUUAAAAUGUAAACUUACGAAAAAAAAUUUAUUUGAUACUUGAAUUUGAUCUUACGAGAAUUGAACUAAUUAAUCUUUUAUUAAAUAAACAAAUUUAAUUGAGUUUAAUUAAAUAAUUAAGUUUAGCCGAUUGAAUGUUAGCUCAAUUGGCAUGGAUAUUAUUGUCAAUACAAGAAGACGUGGGUUCGAGCACGUUAAAGCUCAUUAUCCUCCUAUUUAUAGGUUAAGGAGAGAUUGUUUCUAAUCAUUAUUUUAAUUCAAACUUAAAAUUUAAAAUAAAACUCGAUUUAAUCCAACCCGAUAAGCAUGUAAUUUCAAAAGUUUCAAUUCCUAACAGGUUUUUUUCCUUUUAGGUACAACAAUGGCGGUUUCCUUACAGACUGCAAACAAACCAGUGAUACACCAAGAAAAGCCGACAAACAAGCGGCGGUGUGUCGUUGUGACGGGGAUUGGCCUUGUAACGGCGCUCGGUGAGGAUCCGGACGUGUUCUACAACAAUGUUCUUCAAGGCAUUAGUGGCAUAACAGAGAUUGAAAAAUUCGACACUUCUCAGCUUCCAUCUGUAAGUUCUUAGCGAUCAGAAAUUGAAUCAUAACUUAUCAAUUUUCUUUAAAUGUCUGAAAGUUUUGAUCCAACAUUAAACUCUUAGUUGAUUUUUUUGGCUAAUUGACAAAAUUUGAGAUUUAUUCCCUAAUAACAUAUGCCAAGGGUAGCAUAAUUAAAUUAAAUUUUUUAUGAUAAUCAGAAUGCAAUUUUUCAUUAUAAGCUUAAAAUUGUAUAAUUUUUAGAAAGACUACAUCACAAUUUUAUUAUUUUAGGGGUUAAAAUUGUAAUUUUAUCAUAUAUUAAUAUAUAACCUUUUUAAAUUUUAAACGGUUAAAAUAAAAAAAUUUCAUCUUAGAGGGUUAAACACACUGCAUACCCUCUAGUGCAGCCCAUGCGCCAAAGGCAAAUAAGGACAUUGGUCUAAGAAAUGGUGAAGUUAUAGUUUAAUCCUUUUAAAAAUUUAUAAAAUUAUAAGUUAAAAUAAUAAUAAAAUUGCAUUAUUGGACCUUCCCAAAAGUUUAUAAAUCAAAUUUAUUUUUUAAGAACAGUUUUGGCUUCCCACUCGCCAUGUCACAUAUAUAUGAUCUGUUAAUAAACAUAUCAAAUUGGAGUCAACAAUUCGAUUAGGAUUUUUAAAUUGAAAAUGUAAAAAUUUAAUUUUUAACUUUUUAAAUACAAUGACUAAAACUCAAUUUUUGUAAAAGUAUAGGGACUAAUGACAUAUUUUGAUUAUUUUAUUUAUUAAAAAAACAGAAAAUUGGUGCUGAGCUUAAGUCAUUCUCCCCGGAAGGUUUUGUUUCAUCAAAGCUUGCAAUGAGAGCUGAUAACUUUAUGCUUUACCUUAUAACCGCCGGCAAAAAAGCCUUGGCCGACGGCGGGAUUUCCGAUGAAGUCAAUGGACAGCUUGAUAAAACUCGAUGUGGGAUUAUUGUUGGCUCUGCAAUGGGAGGUUUAAGGGUAAACACGAUUCAAUUCUUUUAUAUAUGUAUAUAUAUAUAUACAUAUAUACAUAUAUAUAUAUGUAUAUAUUAUUUUUCAUAGUUAGAAUGGUCAAAGGGUUAAGCUAUAUUUUAAAAUCGAAAAAUCGUAAAAUAUUUGAAAGUGUUUGAAAAAAAAUAUUAAGUUUGAAAAUGAGUUACAUUAAAAAUUUUAUGUCUGUUUAAAUAAGAGAGUCCGACUUGAUCUCUAAUAUUUAAAGUUUAAACAAGAUAAAUAAUGUUAUAAUAUAUUAUUUAUAAAUAUGACUAAUUUAUAUAUUAGAUUUAAAAUUUUAAUAAAGUAAGAAUAAAAUUAUAAGAUAUUAAAUAAAGUUAAUAUUUUUAAAAAAUGUGUAUGGCCUAAAAUGGAUUAGGUUAUAACCAUUAAUUUACAAAUAUUUUCUUAAAAUUCAAAAAAUUUUGAGAACUCAUAUAUCAGGUUGAGUCAAGUUAGGCUUGAACAAACAUGAAUGGUGAUGAUACCAUACAUAUAAGCUUGACCUAAACUACAAUUAGCUUGAUCAUAGAUACCUUUAUUUAUAAUUAAAUUAAUAAAAUAAACUAAGAUGAUUUUAUUAUUAGAUGGUAAUCUAGGUAGAAUCGAACUUACUCAAAUUAAGAAAAAAAACUUAAUCCAAAACUCGAUCCACGGAUAGCUCGACCCUUAGAUAAAUCUACUUCACCAAGAUCAGUUGGUGCCGAUAGUACUCGAAAACUAAAGAUCAACAGUGUCCUAAUUGGUGUCAAUGGUGCUCGAGCACCAACUUGGAUGAUGUUGUGAUGGUGCUAGAACAUAGUUGGUCCCAAAUGGUAAGAGUAUAUUUUAUCAGUCAAAUAGUUGUGUUUGAUACAUAUUUAAACACCAAUAUAAAAAAAAAUUAAAACUAUUGAAUAUAUUCAUAUAUAUAUAUAUAUAUUACAAAACUUAUAUCCGACACUCAGACUCAAUUAAGAGUAAAGAAUUUUUUCUUCUAAUUCUCUCUAAUUGUGAAUUUUGUGGAUAUUUUUGAAACAGAUUUUCUACGAAUGGUUUGAAAAUAUGUUAAUUCUUUCAAGGAGGCCAAAUCCAUUUAGUGUGCCUAUGGCAGGAAACAACAUGGGUUGCGCAGCACUAGCAAUUGAAUUGGUACCUACACCACUCAUUCAAAUCAUAAUAAUAGUAAUUGAAAAUCGAUUAAAGGUUUGAGGAAAAGAGUUGAUUUUAUUGGGAGAAGUAUUUGAAUGAAUAAUUAGUUGAGAGUUUAUAAAUUUUUUAAUGGGUUGGUAUUAUUUGUCUCCCGACUUUGCUUAAGGCUCAAGUGCUUGAACAGAUGACAAAGUUCAAAGAGUUUAAGGGUCUUAUAUGCUCUAGAAGGUAAAUUUAUUAGUAUAUUUAUCCCACAAUGCCCUAUACGUUAUAGGACAUUGGUUUAAAUCCCUCCAAGCGAAAAUAUGAGAUUUUCUUGAUGAGUGGUUCUCCUUCAUAGGCACUUAGACAAGGUGCUUGUGUUUUAUAAACUCAUUAGUUUCUUCAUGUAACCUCUUUAGGCACUUGGGCUCUAUGUUGAGUCCAGAGACAAAACUCUCACCAAAAAUAAUACCAACCCAUUGAUGGGUCUCACAGUUUUUGACGAACAACAUUUCACAGGCUUUUUCUAAUGGAGUUGGCCUUCUCUCAACAAAUUUAUUUUAAUUUUUAUUGAAUUAAAUAUAAUUAAUAUAUAAUUAGUUAACAUCAGAUCAAAUUUUAUUUUAAUUUUAUUUUUUUUAUAUAUUUUUUAAAAAAUUAAAUCACAGGGUUGGAUGGGUCCAAACUACAUAAUUAACGCAGGUUGUGCAACAAGCAAUCAUUGUAUACUUAGUGCAGCUGGUCACAUUAUUGAUGGAAUAACUGUGAGUCACUCAUUUCUAUAUCUUAAUUUAUGGAUGUUAAAGGGGUUUAUGAGUCCGGUCAGGUUUACGAUGAAUCUAUAUAUGAUAUGAUUAUCGAAUUUUAAAAAGUGUUAAGUUUAAUUUAUAUAUGGUAUUAACACAAUAUUAUUCACUAAACUGGACUUGAUCUCGAUUAUAGGUUUUAAAUAUGAUCUAAACUUAUUAAUAUUUGUUAAUUAUUAAUCCAAAAUUGUUCAGGCUUAAUCUUUUAAAAAGUCCAACUUGUUUUAUUUAACUAUAUACAAAUUAACACAUUUUUAAAUAUUUAUAUUAUAUUAAUAAGUAUUUAAUUUUUAGAUGAUAUAAAUUGCAUAAUAUGUAAAAAAAAAUAAUAUACUAUACAAUUAAAAAACAAAAUAAGCUAAAUCUCGACCUUGAAUAUUAGAACCCUAGCUCGAUUCAUCUUUUAAAUUGACUUAAAAAUAUUAUAUAUAUAUAUAUAUAUUAAUAUAGCUUUAAGGGUUAACAAAGUUUUAGUACUUGGAAAAAAUCAAUGAAGAAAAAUACUUUUGAUUAUGCUUUCAAACAUUAAAAAUACAUUGAUUUAGUUUUUUUUUUGCCAAUAAUUUUGGUUGUUUAUUAUUACAGUGUUGAUGUGUUCAUUAAUAAUUGUUGAGUUAAUCGUUGUGAUGAUAAUGUGAUGGCCUGUGUCAGUAAAAUUAGGAAAAUAUACAAAUUAUUUUAACAAAUUUAAAGAGUUGAGAUUAAAUUAUAUAUUUUUAUAAGAAUUAAAAUUUAAUUUUACCUUAUCUUAUAUUUUUAUGGUUUUUAAAAAGACUCAAUUAUAAUUCUCGUAUUUUUAAAAGAUCAAAUUAUAUUUUACUUAAAAUUUUAUAUUUUUUAAAGAUAAAAUCACCUCCUCCCUUCGCGACUAACAGGUCGUUGAGAAAAUCACUUUCAAAUAUCCCAAAACCUAUAAUAAUAAUAAAAAGAUUUACCUGUUGUGAAAUGAAAGAAAAGUAAGAACCACCGUUUCUCUUUUUAAAUAUUUUUAUAAUGUUUUAUAAUUUAACGAACUAUGUUCAAAAUGAAUAUGGACAAAGCAAUGUCUGGAUUCAAAUGUACUUGAAUUUCUAUUUAUUCAAAUUCAUUUUAAACUUGAAAUUUUAAUGAUUUUUUUCAUUUUUGCUAACAUGAAAUAACGCUAAGAUCACAACGGUAGACUCAACAGUCAUUAAUAGUCAUGUUAGUACAAUAAUAGUCAACAACAAAAAUUAAUCAAAGAGCUGAAUUGAUUGAUUUUUUGAAAAAACACAAAAACUUUUUUUAACUCUUAAACCUAUUUAAAUUAAUAUUUAUAAUUAAAUUUUAAAUAAAUAUUUAUUAAUUAUUAAAUAGUAAUUUAGACGGAUUCAAUUUUCUAAACUUCUCUUUUUGUUUUAUAUGUACUUCUUUGAUAUUAUAUUUGACGUAGGGGCGAAGUUAGAAAAUUUUUUUUAGGAGGUCGAAAUUAAAAUUUUAUUAUUUUAAUAGAUUAUCUUUAUAAUUUUUAAAAGAUUAAAUCAAUUUUUUUAUCAUUUUCAGAAAGGAUAAAAUGUAAUUUUACUUUUAUAAUUUAAAAUUUAAAAAUUUUUAAAGAAUUUAAUUGAAAAAAAUAUCAUUUUAGGGUGGCCAAAGGCGCUAUCAGCACUGCUAGCUACAUCCUUGACCCAAUAUAUUUAAACAUAAGUACAAAAAUUAAUAUUUAAAUAUAUGUAAAUCAUUUAAAAUUGGACCUAUUUAUGUUAGAUCAAGUAUCUGUAUCCAAUACUAUAAGAUGAUUUUGCAGGACAUGAUGCUUUGUGGUGGUUCCGAUGCCGGAGUUCAUCCAAUAGGUAUACUUAUAUAUACCUUAUGUUAGACUGGGGAAGCCAAAAAUCCAUUUUAGGGGUAAAUUUUAAAUUAUGAAUUUUUGAAGGAAUAAAAUAUAAUUUUACUAUUACAUUUAAUUUAUAAUUUUAUUUUUAAAAUUUUAAGACUUAAAAUAAUUUUAUCAUUUUAGAGAGUCAAUGUCUACUCGCCAGUUCUACUUAAGCAUGAAUGGAUAUAGGUACAUAUAUGAAUACGAGUGUUUUUAGUUUUAUUUUCAAGUCUUUUUAUGCCUUGACUUCCUCUAAAAUGAUAAGUUUACAGUUUAUUCUCUCUAAAAACUUUCAAAUUAUAAACUAAUAUAACAAAAAAUUAUGUUUUUACUCUUAAAAUUUAAUUUUAAUCUAAAAAUUCCUGGUUUCAUCCGUGUCCUAAUACUUAAAUCUAUUUCAAACAUAAAUAUCAUAUACAAAUACUUAGAAAUAAAACUGAAAAAUCAGAUUAAGGUAAAAGUACAAUAGAGGUCCUUAUACUAGAAGUCAAAUUGUAUUUUGCCCUAUUUACUCAAAAAUUAGACAAAUUAGUCUUUGUAUAUUAGAUCAAAGCUAAUUGAUUCUUUCUGUUAAAAAUUUCAUCAAUUUGUACGAUUAAAAACCAGCGUGAAUAAUGAAAAAACUAAACAGUGACAUGUGGCAUGUCAUGAUACCUCAUGCCGACAUAUAAAGACCAAUUUUUAAUAGUAGAAUUGAAUAGAGUUUUUAACAGGAAGACCAAGUUUGCUCUUUAAUCUAAUGUACAAUAACUAAUUUAUCCAUUUUUUGAAUAGAAGAGAUAAAAUGCAAUCCAACUCUUAAUACAAGAAUUUUUAUAGUACUUUUACUAUCUUAUUAAGAUAAUAUAUAUACACAUGAUUUCUUUUAGAUCAUGAACUUACCUUCAUUUUUUUUUAUUUUUUAUUUUUUUUAUUUUUUAUAAAUGAAGGUUUGGCAGGUUUCGCGUCAUGCAAAGCUUUGUCUAAGAGGGACUGUGACCCGACCAAAGCUUCAUGUCCUUGGGACACUGUAAUACCCUACAACUUCAAGCUCUUUUCAAUGACGGCCUCUUACAUAAUUUUUGGUCUAAUUAUGAAUUUCAAUCAUUCUAAUUUAAGAAAAUAGAGAUUAUUUCCUCUAUUUUAAAUUUGUAGGAAUUUUAUCCUCAUUCUUUACCAAAACUGAGAAAUUAA